This 56456-nucleotide long non-coding RNA is filed under the name Fragaria vesca (wild strawberry). Its description in RNAcentral is "long non-coding RNA (FVES_LNC003163)". The record is from RNAcentral. Lineage: Eukaryota; Viridiplantae; Streptophyta; Magnoliopsida; Rosales; Rosaceae.
GUAGCUCAUGUGACUGCAAGACAUGCAACGUGAUCAAAUAACCUAACUAUGAUAUCAAGAUGAAAUAGUAAUAUGAGGUUCAUAUAUCCAAUACUAGUCGAUCAGUCGGUGACGGAUGGAGUGACCUAAUUCACAAGUUGUGUUCCAUUCUUCUACAAAAAAAAAAAAAAAAUCUAUUUUUUCAACAGAUGCAAUUAGGGUAAAUGCAAAGAUCGAUCAUGUUCCUUGAAAAAAAAUAUAUUUCUCAAACAAUGACUAAUUGAGGAGAGAAUUAGGUGCAGAUUUGAUAAGUAUCGGAUACAUUAUCAGUACCACGAGUUCAUGAUAACUGUGUCUGAGUGGAACAUAUAAUUCAGAAUUAGGGUUCAAACAUUCAAUAAUUCUAUUUUUGGAAGAUAAUGAAGGCAUUUAUGCAUUAUGUUGCACUGCUUAGUUUGUGCCCACCCGCACCCCACCCCACCCCACCCCACCCCACCCCAUCUCGUUAUUGAUAUUUGAUAUAUAAUAAAGAUAUACAAUCUUGAUAAUACAAAUUGUAGGAUAAAUUGCUUAGCCUCUAUAGGCAUUAUGUGCUUAAGGAAAUCGUGAACGAGACUUAUAGCAUCUUUUAACGAUGCUAGUCAUUUUGUAGUCAAAUUUUGGCUAGCCACUUUAAAAGUACAUUUACACCAGUACUUUAUAUUUCAACUAAAGUUUGAUUUACAUUAUUUAUUAGAUAAAGAAAAAUUAAUUUAAAUGUGUCUUAAUAUUACAUAAAAUGACUUAAAAAGAAUACUUUGAAUUAACAUAAAUUAUAGAGAGCCUCAUCUUGCUAGUUAUAUUUAGAGAGCAAGAUAGCUAGAAGUUAAAAUAGUUAGCCACUUGGAGCAUCUUUAGUAAUGCUAGCCAUUUUUAAGUUAAAUUUUAGUCAAAUUAGCUAAAAAGUCAUUUUGGUUAGCCACUUUAGAAAUGCGGAUGCAUCAAUGCUCUUUAUUUUAGCUAGCAUUACAUCAACAUUAUUAUUCAAAUAAAGAUUAAAUAGUUUAAAUAUAUUUAUAUAUCACGUAAAAUAUCUUAUAAGGAAUGUAUUAAAUUAUAGCUAGCCUCAUCUGAGUCAUCUCGCUCUCUAUAUUUAGCUAGCGAGAUAGCUAAAAGCCAUAAUAGCUAAAUUUUGGCUAGUCUGAUAGAGCUCCGAAAAUAUUAAAAAAAACUAAACAUGGUCUCUAAAAUAGUUGAAUGCUAAAAUAAAAAGUAUGCUAAAGUUGCUUUUACUAGUCUGCUGGAGCUGAUCAAAUUGAUAAAAAACUAAACUUUCUCUUUAAAAUGGCUAAGGAGCUAAUAUAGAGAAUCUGUUAAAAAUACUCUUAGAAUUUGGGUCAUGUGCCUCAAAAUAAAAUAUGAAGAUAAUCGAGAUUUUGGAGGGCUAUGUGGAGCAAAUAAUUAUGAUUAAGAUAUAUAUUGACUACUUGAAUGAAAAUAGAAAAUGACCACAAGGCGCGCAUAUUUAUUAUAUAUUACAAAAUCACGACUGAUCAUCAAGGGAAAUGAAGUUGUUAACUUGACAAAAUCAGGACUUCAAAUUUCAUUAUAUACUACAAAAUUGUAAUUUUUUCAACAAAAUUAUAAAUAUAUGGAGAAAAAAUUGUCAACAUGAAGAACAAAUGUAAACGUUAAGCAUGUGAAGAUAUGAAAUUUAAUAUAUUAAAUAUAUAAAUACUUUAAUGAACGAUUUAGCUACCAAAAAUACUAGCUAGUGUCUAACAUGAAAGAUGAAAUUGAAUUAAAAUUAACUGUACGUGUUGCGAAGUAUAUCUAACAAAUUAUCCAAGCAUGUUGAUUUGGACCUGUUUUUGACUAAAUGGUUAAUUAUUUUCCAAAGAUAUAACAAUGCCAGGUAAACUGAAACAGAAACCUAGUUAACACAAAACAACUACUAACUGAUCGAGGCCAGGGAAGCCUCAACUAAUUAGAGGCAUGCAGGUCAGAUUACACCGCAUUUGUGUCUAAAAAGAGUUGCACAAAAACUGAAUACUGUAAGACUGGCCCUUUAAAUAAAUCAAAACUUUCAAACCCUCCUCUCAGGCAAAGCCAAACUUGCACGUACAUCUGGUUUUCUCGAUCAUUUACAGUUUUACACUCUGUUCAUCUCGCCGGACGUAAAAAUGGUGCACACAGACGCCAUCAGAACUAUCGUCGGGAUCAUUGGUCUGUAAUUUCUUUUUCGCAUAAGUUUUCUCUCUCUUUCUCUUUUAUAUUUCUUAAGUUUGAUUCUAGUCUAGUUAUCAUGUUCAAUUUGCUUAUCUUUCUUACCUUUCCUUGUAGGUAAUAUCAUUUCCUUCGGCUUGUUUACAUCCCCAAUGUAAGCGCUCUCUUCAAUCUCUCUGUAUAUAUAUACAAAUAGUUAACGUUCACAGAUAUAAAUUAUUAACAAAACAAGCGUGACCAUUAUAUUACAAGUUAUCAAUCUAAUUUGCUUGUAGAUGUUACUUUUAUUAUUUAUAUGUCAAAAAACUGCAUGAAUUCGUUAAUUGAAAAUGUCGAUUUCUCUUUAUGAAAUGAAAACUUGAAGUUUGAGCAGAAUAUGAACUGCAUGUAAUACCCUUAAGACUAGAACGUACAAAAUCAAAAUCAAAACAUCUAAACUGACACUUUUUCCUGCUUCUUCUAAUCACCAACAAUAUGGGAAUUGCACGAGUACGAGCUAGUAGUGCACCUUGAUUAUUUUCGCAUAUAUCUUCUGUAUUAUUUUCUCUCCUCUCUAGCUAUAUUUUUUCUGAGACUGUAUACUUUGAGAAUUUUGCAGUCCAACAUUUGUAAAGAUAAUCAAGGACAAAUCGGUAGGAGAUUUCAAAUCGGAUCCUUAUGCAGCAACUUUGCUUAAUUGUGCUAUGUGGUCAUUUUAUGGCCUUCCCAUUGUCCAUCCCGACAGUCUGCUCGUUGUUACUAUCAAUGGCACUGGCUUUUUCAUCGAACUCAUCUAUGUUUCAAUCUUUCUCAUAUAUUCUCCUCCCCAGAAACGCGUAAGUAAAUCCUAGACUACUGCUUAUUUAGGGUUUAAUGGUUUAUGCACACAUGACACAGUGGUUAAUAACAUGCAUUUCUAUUCUUUUGUUCUUUCUUUUUCAGCGAAAAAUUAUCAGUGCUCUCCUGGUUGAAGCAAUCUUUUUUGCUGUUGUGGCUUUUAUUACCAUUUACGUUUACCAUACAACUAAAGAAAGGACAAUGAUCAUUGGAAUCUUGUCUAUUGUCUUCAAUAUCAUCAUGUAUGCAUCACCCUUAACAGUCAUGGUAAGUAGGGCGACUUCUAAAUAGUUCUAAUCUCUAUUGCUUUCUUUUUUCUCUCACAGUACUACGUCGACCCUUUCUUACAUAUGUUUUCUAAAUAUGUUGAACUAACUUUUGCAUUUUUCUUUUGCUGCUGGUAGAAAAUGGUAAUCAAGACAAAAAGUGUCAAGUACAUGCCAUUUGCCCUCUCACUCGCCAACUUUUGCAAUGGAAUUAUCUGGUCUGUUUAUGCACUCCUCAAGUUUGAUCCCUAUAUUCUGGUAAUUUUCUAACAGAAUUAGUAUAUAUGCUCUUUAGAUAAUUAAUAUGCAUGAAAGAAAAAGUCAUGGGAAGCCUCAUAUCCAUGCCAGGUUCGAACAUGUCAUGCUACUUGGAGUUAAAAUUUAAUUUAUUCUUAUGGCCAAAAGGAGAAAGUGUUUAGACAUGAUCUGACACAAGUUAGUCUCAGAGCCUAAAAAGCUUAUAAGAAAACCGUCUGAUUUCGACCAAAAAAAAUUGUAUCUUUUUCUCCGGAAAAAGUUGCCGGUCCAAUAAGGUUUCCAAUAAGAACUUCCGAGCCAUACCUAAUGUAAAAUUUGCUAUUAGAGGCUCAUACCCAUGAGCUUACUGACCCAUGCAACAACUUCUGCCAUCAUAUAGGAACAAUAUUAAGUAACAAAGAAAACAUUGAUAAUAAGUUUCAAGAAUACUAACCAUUUUCUUUGAAAAAUCUCGGCAGAUUCCUAAUGGUUUGGGCUCGCUUUCGGGACUGGUGCAACUCAUCUUGUAUGGCACUUUCUACAGAACCACUAACUGGCAUGAUAACGAAGAAAAGCCAAAACCUGAAGUUGAACUCCCUAAAGUUUAGAGAGAUCAUCCCAAGUGAUUAUGACAAUGUUUGAUGACUUUGAUCUGGUCAAGAGAUGGUGAUCAUGAAUAGUAUCGUGUUCUUAUUUAUUCUGAGAGCCAUUCAAAUGUAUUCUCACCAGCUACUAAUAUGAUUAGUAGUUCAUGUGAUUAUGAUCAGAAUUAUGAUGGUACUGUAACUUUUUUUUUUUGGUUAAACCUCGAUGAAACGAGAGUAAUUUAUUGAAAGAAAAAAGAUGAAUACACCAUAGUAGGAGGGACCUAACUCCACUCCUAUAAAAAAAAAACAAACAUAUAACUCACAACAAAACAGUAAAAGUUAACAGAAACGAAAGGUGGGAAGCCCCAACUAAUCGUUAUUACAAAGAUAAAUAACAAAAUUUGAGGACAAGUCCCACCACGUUAAACUUGAAGACUUUAUCCCUUCAUGGUACUAAACUUAAACAAGCAUAUAUUUUUGGUCGAGUUUGUAUCAUAUUACCUUAGAGCAUCUUUAGCAAUACUAGCUAUAUUUGAGUUAAAUUUUCGUCAAAUUAGCUAAAAUAUUAUUUUGGUUAGCCACUUUAGAAAUGUGUAUCAAUGCUCUCUAUUUUAGCUAGCAUUACAUUAAUAUUAUUCUUCAAAUAAAUAUUAAAUAGUUUAAAUGUAUUUAUAUAUCACCUAAAAUAUCUUAAAAGAAUGUAAUAAAUUAUAGCUAGUCUCAUUUGAGUUAUCUCGCUAGCUAAAUAUAGUUAGCGAGAUAGCUAAAAGUUAUAAUAGUUUAAGUUUGACUAGUUUGUUGGAGCUCCUAAAACAUCUAAAAAAGCUAAACACGCUCUCUAAAAUAGCUAAAAGUUAAAAUAGAGAGUGUUAAAGUUACUUUUACUGUAUUAAUUUGAGCAAGAAUUUCAAUACUAUAAUUAAUGAACAUAUCAACAUAAACAUCACCUAGAAAGUUCUUGGAUCACUACCGGUUUGCAUCCAACUCAUUACCAAGCUCAGUGCCAACAUUGUCGACCGUCCUUUGCAACACAUCUUCUUCAAUGAAAUAUAUACAAGCUUAGAACAUGAAUGUACAAACAAAGAACCCUCUCCGAAAUCAUUCACAACAAGAAUAGGAGUGGGUUCAACAAUAACAUGUUAUCCACUCGUUUGGCAACAUAAACCUGCUUCACCUUUCUAUGUGAGCCGUCCUCUUCGUUUCCUAGGCUUUCAUGAUCUACCACAACAAGUAAGCAGCCUCUUUUAUUUGAGAAACUCAACAGCGUCUCACCUAUUUUGCAUUGUGUAACCCUAUUACCAAAGUUACCAUAGUAGAAGCAAACAGUAAGGAGACGUCUAUACUCGACUUCAAUCACAAAAAAGGGUCUCACUCUCACCGUUACGGAGGCAGAACCCAUUUUCCAACCCUAAUCCCAUUUGGGCAUGUCUAUUGUGCAGCGCUGCAUGAUAUGCAGUGUGAAUAGUAUGUCAGGCGCCAAGAACGUGAUGAGAAAUUGGAAAGGUUAACCAAGUAUUUCCAGUUUCCCCACACGAGCGAGAGUCAACACACCAUUUACUAUAUAUCUAUUUGUUGAUCACUGUUCAUCUACAGUGAUUUACUGUUCAUCUACAGUAAAAACAGUUUUGGGCUCAUGGCAGUUUUUUUUUUUUUUUGGCUGAAAAAAAAGAGUACACUGGGCUUCGCAGUUUGCACACUAUUUAAAAAGGACCAUCUGAAAUUUGUUUUGUUUUGUCUUCGAUGAAAAUAGUAGAUUGAGAAAAGAGUGAAAAAAAGAAUCGAGAAGAAAUAACAUAAGAGAUAUAUUUUUACUAUUAUGAUAAGCGCUUUGUUGUUAAGUAUUUCAAAUUAAAUCUAUAUAGAGUUUGCACUUUGAUAUAUUAGAAAUAAGAAUAAAAGAAGAAAAGUUAUAAACAAAAAUCUCGCAAAUCCCCCGGCAAAGCGCGGGUCAUAAUUCUAGUAUUCUACCAUAGAAAAAAACUCGUCUGUUACGAUCUCGUCAUCAACCGUGUAACGCCCUAAUUCAAAUCCUCAUUGCGGAACCACCACCUUCACCGUCGCCCUCCGCCCUCCGCCCUUAUUUUUCAAUUUCACAACCCCCAAUUGCAUCUGUAAGUCAUUGACUGGUUUUACCAUUUCAGUCACCGACUCAUAUUCUGAUUAUGAGUCCAGCGAUGGGUUGAGGUACAAAAUAUCUCAAUUCCGAUCUCGAUUCCCGACAAUGCCAAAGGUACGAAAUAUCUCAAUUAUCAACCCAAUGAGUCUCCAACUCAAUAGUCUCUAUCACAUUCAUUCAUUCGAGCGAUUUUGACUGAUGUUGGGAGGCUUUGUUUUGCCACUUAACUUCUGGCGAUUUGGAGAAGAGGGAGAAAGAAUGAAGGUGCAUUGGGCGCAAGGUGUUAGAGGUGAGUGGAAAAUUUCAUUGUCCAGUGAUAUGCUUUUUGUUCAUUUUGUCGAUUUGCUUGUGGAGCUAUUGGUUUUCCACUGAGAUGUCCAUUUUAUAUAUCAGCUAAUUAAGUUCUAUUGAUAAGAACUUCAGUUAUUAACAACCUUAGUCGUAAGAAAUUUGUUAUCUCGACUAUUGUUGUUCUGGACAAAUGCAACUGUAGGGAAACUAGAUGAUUCAAAUCAGUUGAGUGGUGGUAGGGAAAAAACUAUGGUGUAGGUUGUUACGUCUGGAAGAGGCAAAGUUGUUUUGAUCAACUACUAGUGUAAAGUAGUUUAGAGGGAUCUGUGUUCUCUUUGUUUGGCAUUGCAUAAUGCAUCAUUAGACAAUAUUUGAGCUGUAGGAAAUGUAGCAACGGCUGCUUUUAAAGAUUUGAGAAUUUGAAGCUUUUGAAUUGAAGGUUGGAGCCAAAUUCAAUAAACACACACACUCAACUGGUACUGCAUGUAUUUGAUCAGAAGACAAUAAAACAUAUGUCAUCUUUAAUAGUUGACAAUGAUUACCACAAAUGAUUGCAAUUGUUAUAUUUUCCAUGCUUUAAUGACAUUAGAAUUUUCUACAGGUAUCAAGAAAUUAUUACAGACCAGUUAUGCUGGCCAAUUUGUGGUGAUGACAAACCCCCACAUUUUGGUCAUGCAGGAGUGUCGUUUCCGGGUUGCUUAUUUACUGAUAAAGGAAGAACAAGAAGGUAUAGUUAUCUUGAUCAUGCUUUCUUUCAGUCUUGCUAUAAUACAUUAUUUACCUGAUAGAUACUAUAUCUUUUCCAUUUUCAAAAUGUUCUCAGAGCUUGCUGCACUCCAUUGUAUUGUAAUGUCUAACUUCUUAUUGUGUUAUGAAGAAGCUGAAUUUUUGCAAGCUGGCAACAUAAAAUCAUCAUUGUAAUUCAGAUAACAAUUGAUUAGUGUUAGAUUGCUCCAUUUCACACGUAUCAAGCAAGUAGUAUCACUCAUGUACUGUCUCCUUCCCAAUUGAGCAACACCAUUGUUCAUUGUUCAUUCAACUUUUGUUCACCUUCUUUAUAAUAACAAACAAGAGAAAGAGAAGUAGCAUCAUCAUCUUUACCAAUGAACAACCAGUUGGAGAAAAUGAAAAAGGACUAAUGUUGAUGGACAACUCUUACUUUUGUGGCUUUUAUGAUAGCUUCUGCAGGUAUACACAUUUUUAGUAAAGAUUAUCACUCUUUAGCAGCAGUGCACCAGCAAGAAGUGAUGGUUUGAACUAUUCUUUGUCACAAUGAUAAUGCAGUGCACCUACAUUGGGUAUUGCAGGGCAGCAGCCUACAUCUAUUUCUUGCAGUCCAUGUAAAUAGACUGCUAUUACAAAUGUUCAACGAUCAAUGAAUCACAUACGAUUUUUCCCGCGCGGGCAAUUUGCCGAGUUAAACUCUAAUCAACAAAAUAACAUCAAACCUCGUUUAAUUACAUAUUCCCUCAAGAUCGUUGAGUUUCCUUUAAACAAACAAAAACGAACGCACAAAGCAAACCUAAGUAGAGGCCAUGAAAGGAUCACAUAUAAGUGGUAUAACAUCUCUUUUUACUCCACCAGGAACUAAAAUGACACCACAACACAAAACAAAGUAAAAGUUGAUAGUCGUAAAGCGGGCAUUGUUAAAAACUGCAUGCAUUGCAAAUACUUGAUAAGUAGACAAUGGACAUACCCUAUGGAUGAGCUUCUCAAAUGCUUCAGCACCAUUCUCUUCAAUGUACUUCUCUGCAGCUGUUAUAACAUCAUCUGACUUACUGAAGACAACCUUCUUCCUUGGAACAAACCAAAUAUUUUCUCCUCAAUUUGCAUUAAAAUGUAGUUAGUUUGAACCCACCUACCAUCAUCCGUUGUUUUAGGAAUCUGCGAGCCAAGAAUAACACGUAAGCAAAUACAAUACGUACAAUGGAAUGACACACAUAAUGCUUUCUCUCUCAAGCAUUAUGUCGAACAAUUUCCGGGAUGUAGCUUUCGGUAGAAAUUGGUGUUCUGUAAUUCCUUUGCUUCAUAUACAUACCUAGAAAUUCACAUCAACGCAGAUAUUGUAAGUACCGAAAAAGAAAACGAUCAGAAAACACAACUGAAAACAUCAAAUUGGCAUAAAAGCAACAAAGACUUCAACUUCAACAAAUUGAAUGCAAAAUAUCGAUCUGUGCAUUUUCAAUUAAAUGCAAAAUAGAGAUCCAUUCACCUUGUGGGCUAGCUCAGUUUCGACUUUCGAGAGGCUGAGAUACCAAGUAUCCAAACCCUCAAACUCCAACUAGUUACACACAAAUAUAUUGGCUGACGGUAAAGAUAUCGAUGGAGGAGGAGGAAAAGCAGUGGCGGGUGAAGGAUUUCAGAGAGAGGAGAGAAGGAAGAGAGAGAAAGAGUUGAUGAAAUCAGGAGUGAAUUGAAUCUGAUACCUAUGAAUUGGAGGGAAGUUGGAAAUUUCGUAAGGGAAUUGAAAUUGCAAAACAAGAGGCGAACGCGGGAAACUGAAAUUUUGAAGUUGGAUAUUUUAAAUAACACGACUACAAACGGUUGACCAUUUUGAUCGAGCCCCGAAUAUUGCCGGAUCUAAUUGAAUUUUUUACGAUGGUCAUAUUUCACUACAAUGAACAUAUCAAAUGGUCCGAUUUUUAUUUUGUGAAUUUUACUCAAUGGAAUCACAACAUGUCUACUAAUGUGGUAUAACUUAUUUAGUAGGUUUUAUGAAAGUGUACAACUCUGUGAACCAGCUAUACAUAAGAAGCAAAAUUUAAAAAAAUUUCGUGAAAUAGGAUGUGAUCGGUAUGGUUAAAUACGGCUAUGGUUGAAAAAUCACAUAUUUCGGGUAACGUCUCGGCCCUGAUAAAAGCGGUCAACCCUUUUUACACUUAAUCUUCCUUAUGGGGAGCCCUAUCGUCGGGAGGUAAAACUCUCUAAAUUUUUACAUGGGUGGUUAUGUCUCAUCUAUGAGAGAGUUUAAUGUUUGGAAGAAUCGACCAAACUAGAUCACGGAGAGGUAGGUAAGAGUGUUUCCGUGUGAUAAGCAACGAUGUAUUAGGGUUGACCGCUUCAAUCGAGCCCCAAACGUUACUGGAUCCAAUUGAAUUUUAUAUCAUAGCCAUGUUUCACUACAAUGAUCAUAUUAGACGGUCAGAUCUUCAUUUUGUGAAUUUUAGUCAUUGGAAUCACAAUGUGUCUACUAAGGUGGUAUAACUUGUUUAGUAGGUUUUAUGGAAGUGUACAACUUUAUGAACCAACUAUACAUAGGAAGCAAAAUUUUAAAAAAAUAUCGUGAAUAGGAUGUGAUCGGUAUAGUUAAAUACAACUAUGGUUGAAAAAUCACAUAUUUCGGGUAAUCUCUUGGUCCCGAUAAAAGCGGUCAACCUUUUUACGCUUAAUCUUCCCUAUGAGAAGCCCUAUCAUCGGGUGAUAAAACUCUUUAAAUUUUUACAUAGAGUGUGUGACUGGAAGAAUAGACCAAAAUAAGUCAUUUAAUUAAUGGUAGGUAAGAGCGUUAGUGACGUUGAAUCAGGGUUGACCGCGCGGAUAAAUAUCUAAACAUUCUAAAAAAUAGGUGGAUUUUGCACCAUUGUGAAACACAAACCGUGUGAAAAAGUAGUAAAUUUUAGAGAUUUUUUCAAAUAUGCAAACCAUUUGUUAUGUUAUUUGGAGAAAUUUUAGUUUGCAAAAAUUAUUUUAAAGUGCAAAAGAACAAACGUGGCAUGUCACAAACAACAUAUUUUGUCCACCCGACACAUUUUACUUUUUUGAAUGAUUUUCUACAACAUUUUAUUUUUAAAGCUACAAAAUUUAUUUGAGAAAAUUUUCAAAUUACUAGAUAUCUUUACUAUUAGAAAGCCAGGCUUUGGUGUCUUUGGUGAAGCUUUUUUUUUCAAUUGGCUAAAAAACCAAGGUAGCAGAAAAUUCUCAAACAAUAAAAAUAAUAGUUACUAUGGGUUUAACCGUAAAACACCACUGAAAUAAGAAGAAAAAAAAAAUAUGUGGUAGUUUUAUCCCACUUUUUGGGGAGCAGUUAUCUACAAAAUGAUAGGAUUAACAGAUUCAUCCCACAUAAAGUGGAGCAGUUCAAGUACACUUUCUUCCAUUUUUUGAUCCCCGUGCAGAUGGACGGGUAGGCUAGUUUAUUUAAGGGAAAAAGACCAUUUGCACAAAAUAGAAAAAGUCAAACCCCAUUUCAAUGAUAAUCUUUUUUAUUAGCCCAUUUAAAUACAAGGUAUUUAUUUUAAGCCCAAAUACACAAAUCUUUAUUAAAAUAUAAUAAAAUUAUAUUUUUAAAGACUUUUUUACCCUUAGCUUUUACUUAAAGAGAAAAAGUGAAAAAGUUGGAGGGAAGACUUUGCCGGAAGCACACCGGGCUCCGGCGCCAGUCACCGGCGGCCGCAUUCCGGUCGCCGGACUCCGAACUCCGGCCGCCGGAAUCCGGUCACCGGAAUUUUCUGACGGCCGGAAAAUUGCCGGCAUCCGGUGGUCGGAAUUUUCUGGAAAUCUCACUGGAUUUUUUUAAAUGUCAUCGAAAUUUACGUGAUCUUAACCCAAGUAUGAAAAGUUUACUAGGGGUAGUAAACUCAAAAUAAAGUUUCUCCAUGACCAUUAUACACCUUAAAACAGUGAAAAAUAAACUUAGAUGCAGAAAAAUAAAGUUUACUACCCCUAGUAAACUUCUGCUAGGGGUAGUAAACUUGUAAUACAGUUUUCCUAUGACCAUUAUAUACCUUAAAGGAGAGAAAAAAUCAACAUAUAUGCAAAAAAAUAAAGUUUACCACCCAUAGUAAACAUCUUACUGGGGGUAGUAAUCUUGCAAAAUAAUAUAUCCAAGGCUAUAAGUACACAUUAAAACGGAGAAAAAUCAACUUAGAUGUGAAAAAAUAAAAUUUACUACCCCUAGUAAACUUUUACUGGGGGUAGUAAACUUGCAAAACAGUAUUUUCAAGACCAUAAUACACACUAAAACAUAGGAAGAACAAUUUAGAUUCGAAAAACUAAAGUUUACUACCCCCAGUAAACUUUUAUUAGGGGUAGUAAACUUGCAAAAAAAUAUUUUCAAUGCCAUAAUACACACUAAAACAGAGGAAGAACAACUUAGAUGCGAAAAAAUAAAAUUUAUUACCCCCAGUAAACUUAUAUUGGGGGUAGUAAGCUUGCAAAACAAUAUUUCCAAGGUCAUAAGUACACAUUAAAACGGAGAAAAAUCAACUUAGAUGACAAAAAAUAAAAUUUACUACCCCUAGUAAACUUUUACUGGGGGUAGGUAAAACUUGCAAACAAGUAUUUUCAAGGCCAUAAUACAUACUAAAACAGAGGAAGAACAAUUUAGAUUCGAAAAACUAAAUUUUACUACCCCCAGUAAACUUUUACUGGGGGUAGUAAACUUGCAAAACAAUAUUUUCAAGGCCAUAAUACAUACUAAAACAGAGGAAGAACAAUUUAGAUUCGAUAAACUAAAGUUUACUACCCCCAGUAAACUUUUCUUGGGGGUAGUAAACUUGCAAAACAAUAUUUUCACCGCCACCACUCUGUCAUCAGAUACAAGCUCCGAAACCACCUUAGCCCUCACUUUUGAUCCCUCACUGCAACUCUCCCCAAGAACCCUGUGAGAAACCCUUACGGCUGCGCUUGCGCUGACGUGGCACCGUUGCCCUAAGAACACUCCCUUUGCCGUCUCUGCUCCAGCCGUCCCGGCCGUCUCUGCUCUUGGCCCGGUUUAGUAGCGCCACCGCUAGAUUCCGGUCCGAUACCUCCUAGGCGGUUUUUGACCUCCCGAUGCUUAAAUCCAGAAACAGCUUCUUCUCGCCAGCGGCGGAGAUUGUGUCGAUUCCGAUCUUCGAGAGCAAAUCGGUGGCUCUCUUGAAGCAUGAUGAAGCGAGGUCGAACGUCCGAAGCUCGUGCCAUUUGACACCGGUCUUGUAUGUGGUAGAACGAGGCGGACUUGAUCGCUAGGGAAGGAGAUCUGAUCUGGUGCGGCGUCGUAGGCGGAGGAGAUGUGGUGCAGUGGAGGAAGGAUUAGAAGGCGUCGCAGGCGGAGGUGAUUUGGUGCGGCGUCGCAGGCGAAGGAGAUUUGGUGUGGUGCGGUGGAGGCACCAAAUCUCCGUCACCGGUGCAGUGCUUCGCCAGUGCUUCGUGUCGUCGGUGCUUCGCCGGAGAGAGGAAUCAGAUUCACGUUUGAGAGAGGAAAGAGAGUGGGAGAGUUUUCUGAGAGAGAGAGAGAGAGUUAAUGAUCAGGAAAAAAGAGGAGAAAGAGAGUUAAAUUAAGAUGAGGGUAUUGACGUCUUUUUCUUAGAAUUCAUUGGAAUUGAGUUGCUGAAUAGAUUUUCAUAUGAUUGGGCUAAAAAGAUGUUAAAUCAGUAGUAAAUGGUAAUUUACUCUUUAUUUAAAAAGAAGAAAGAAAAUUAAACAUAUAAUUGCAUCAAUCACAGAAAUCAAAUUCUUUAAUCGCAUUUAACCAUAAACUCAACCCUUAAACCUCAAACCCCAACCCAAACUGGUCCAAACCCAUACCGGCCUAAACUCAAGGGUAAACAAAUCUCAUCUUCCUUACCCUCUCCAAACGCACACCAUGCAUCUCUUUCCCUUUCUCCACCAAAAAUACCAAGGGACCCUCUCUCUCUAACCAUCCUCUCCCUUUUCCUUAUUUAGUUGGGUUUUGAUGGUUCUUGUGUCUGUGUUCGCUUUGGCUCCGUUGUGUUCUUUGACGCCGGCGGUUUCUGGAGAUACAUGAGGUCAUAAUAAACCUCCGAGGGGUGAUUGUUCGAGCUUCGAUUGCUGCUGGAUUAAGUUGGUGAUCUCGGAUUGGUUAAGUAUAUCUCAAAAGUGCAGUUUCACUUGAGUCGGUGAUCUCGAAUCGGUUAAGUUUGUCUUGGAGGCAACUCUCUUGAGCAGAUUGUGGACUGUGGAGUUUUGGCUGGCUGUGUUCCUUAUCAAGAGCGCAGAUCCGUAUUGGGGCAUCGUCGUAUCGAUUCGAUCAAAUUUGAUUUAUCUAUACCUAAAUAUUUGAAUUGCGAAGUUGAAGAUGGUUGUGUUCAAUGUUUAAACAAAAAAAGACGAAGAAGAUGGUUGUGCACUUGAAGAUGGGGUAUGAAUACCCAAAUCUCGCCGCUCAAAUUUCACACGCACGAAGAAUCUACACCACAAAAUAGAAAGAAGGGAGAGAGGGGUAAAGGGUCUAGCCGGUCAUCAAUUGUGUACCAUUAAUUCAAAUGACAUGCUAAUCGUACGGUUGAAAAUGCAUUCAGCCUCUAAAAACCCAAUCACCGGCCUGUCUGCAUAGUAUGCCGCGCUGCAUACUAGAAUUUUCCAUCCCAUUUCAUAUCUUGAGACUUGAGCGCAUACAUGUGGGGACUUCUAGUCCAACCCACGUCGACACCAAUCCGAAAGAGAAUUCAUCUAAGUAACACGUGUAAAAUCAGGAGUCUCCAUUAACCGCGACAUUUCCAGAUGUUUCUCUACUCCUCUCCCUCUCCCUCUCCUAUUGCUCCCGAACUUUCUUCUCCUGCCUUCUUAUAUCCCCACACCUUUUUCUCCCCAGGAACAACACAAACCAUCGAUUGCAGCAUCACACACACACACUGAUAGUCUGCGCUUGGAAAGUGAGCCACCUGCCCAACUAUGGACUUGGAAGCAGUAGUGAGCCACCUGCUCAAUAUUCCGGAGACCAUCCCCACCUACGUGCAUCCUUCUCGGGCUGCUCAUGGAACCAAAGAGAACCAAGGUGCCUCCACCAUUCCGGUCGACAUAUUGGACUCUGCCAAGGACUACACCUUUUACUUGGACGUUCCUGGCUUGUCCAAGUCUGAUAUUCAGGUAUCGUAUUUUGUUUACUGAUAUGAUUUCGAAUUGGAUGUUAUAGAGAUGUGUUAGCUGAGGUACUGAUGGAGACUUUGUUGUUCAGGUAACCGUUGAAGAUGAGAACAAUCUGGUGAUUCGGAGCAACGGGAAAAGGAAGCGCGAAGAUGGAGAGGAGGAAGGAUGCAAGUAUAUUAGGCUCGAGAGGAAGGCACCACAGAAGAUGCUGAGGAAGUUUCGAUUGCCUGAGAAUGCGAAUGUUGGAGCCAUCUCUGCCAAAUGCGAAAACGGAGUUCUGACUGUGGUUGUUCAGAAGCAUCCACCUUCCAAGCCCAAAACGGUUGCAGUUAACAUCUCUUGAAGCGAUUAGGGCCGGGAUGAUGUGCGAAGGUGAAGCUAGGCUGGGAAUUUGAUGGAUUUGUAGGCCUCUGUUUUUGUGUUGGAAGUCGUAACCAGCAUGUAGAUAGAUUAGUCUUUCCAGGCUUAGGCGCACUUCUCUGUUUCGAAUUUUUAUUAACGGCUGUGUUGUAUGCAACUAAAAUUUGCCAAAGAGCGUGUGUUUGAAUGAAUGAAUGCUUAGUGUUUGUGUUUAUUUCUCAUACUUCUUUCAUUGAAAAUAUUGAUGGUACAAUGAUGCAGAGGUUCUUAUAACCUUACAGCUGGUACAAUAUGAACUAUAAACCUUAAACAAAAUUUUGUGACGACCUUGGCUAGAAAAUGUAUGAAGUCUGGAAAACAAUAACGCAAAAUUUAGUUCAAUCAGAUGACUUUCUCUUCUUUCGUGGCUUCGACUUCUUGCUUUUAGAUUCCUUCUCAGCAGGGGCGUCCUCGUUAAACAGAUGCUCAUAUUCUUCCAUACUAGCGAAUGGGGAUGCUGCAGUCCCCCGCUUCCGUUUAGUUUUCCCCUGAACACACUCAAUAUGGACAUUCUCAUCUUCGUCUUCCUCCUCAUCCUCAGCAUCUCCUAUAUCAAUAGCAUCAUCAUCAUCACUCUCAUCACUGUUUGCAGUGACAUCAAAAUCUUCUCCCUCUCCAAUAUCAGAUGGCAGGUCGAUAUCAUCAUCACUGACAUCGCUGGCGUUACCAACCAAGUCUUCGUCAUCGUCAUUGGCAACUUGGUCUAGAUCAUCAUAAUCAUAGUCGCCAUCUGCAUCCAUGGCAACACCAGCAGAAUCCAGCAUAUUGUCAAUCUCUUCGUUAUCACUUUCAUCAUCACCACCACCAUCCACAUCAAACAACUCUGCGGCAUCUUCAUCUUCUGCUGUUGCCUUCUUCUUCUUCUUUUUUGGUUUAUUCGAAGUAUUCAUUUUAUUCAUGUAGAACUUGUGAAAGACAAGAUCUUCUGCAGGCACAUCUUCUUCAGCCAAUGAGAGGAUUUCGGGCCCUAUGAAUCGGUUGGUCAUGUCAAGCUGGAACACAAAAGCUCAGUCAGCAUGACAUAUCCAGGGGCUCUCUAGCGCUGGGCAGUGCCAACAUGUAUGGUUGGGUACAAUCAUUCAAGAGAAAAAAAAAAAAGAAAAAAGAAAAAAAAGAAGAAGACAUUUUCCACAUAAAUGAAGGCAUGAAUGAAGCAAAAUGGUACUUUUGCACCUAAGUUCAGAAUUAAGACCUUUUUCGCAGGUUCAAUUUGCGAACCACCAUGCCAUGUGCUUGCCUUAGGUUUUUUCUCCAUAAACUUAUCUAGGAAAGCAGUAAGUGAUAGGUCAUUCAGUGGGUUUCCAUUAUAGACGAUAUUCGCCCCAGAGAGAAGUGUCUUUGCCAUGGUAGAAACUGAAGGGUGCACAUGUGAAGCAAGUACUGUCAACUCCCACCAGCUUACACGAUCUGCAUUGCUGUUAGCCAUAAAGAAAAAUUUGUUAGUUAGUUGAAAGAAAAUAAAAAUCGAGAAUUUAAAAGGGGUGCAAGGGAAAGACGAUUUCUUUUAAUUCUCCAUUUUCUUUCUCUUUUUUUAAGAACAUUAGCAUAUGUUCUACUACUUCUACUUGACAUGGAAUUUCCCGGUUUCCAUCUGAAGCAGUGAUGGAACAGGUUCUAGCACUGAUACAAAAGCUCAUAAAAGAAUACUAACCAGUAUGAGGGCUCUCUGUGCCGUGGAUCAUAGCCUCCAGGUAGUGUGGUCUUCUCAGAGGAUACUACUUGUGGUUGUUGCACACUACUAUUAGGAACCGUCUUGGAGUGCUUUGAAUCAUUUUUAAAAUGGAACUCAUCUCCUUCAUCGGAAGCUUCAUCCUCAGAAUACGAGGCAGGAGAUUCGAUGUCAUCUUCUGAAGAAUCAUGAUCAGAAUCGGCAGUAUCAUUUGUUUCAUCACUGUUAUGAACAAGCUUGACAUCUUGUUUCUCUGAGACAGGGCUGGGUUCCUUGUCAGUUUCUUCUAUCACAUCUUCAAAAUGCUCAAGGUCAUCAUCAACUGACUCAUUUUGGAGCACCAUGUUCCUGAGAUUGACAAGGAGGUGAUAAUUUUUAUGACCUUAUUGCGAGUACAGUUCACAGAUCUUUGAAUUAGCCAUACACUUACCAUAAGGGUGGCCUUGCUUUAAGAACUUCAGAAAGAAGAAAAAGGCAUCCACAUGCAUAUUGAGGCGGCUGUUGAAGGGCAACCUGUUCAAGCCAGCAGAUAAGUAAAAGAUCCCCGUAAGGGAAGAACAAGAGCAGUCCAUCUAUACUACACUGCAUGCUUACUUCAAAGAUGCAUACUUUUAGACUGAAUUUAGAUCUACAUGUGGAGCUAUCUAUUGAGGAACUAUGGUCCCAUGGGACGUAUAAAUAAGAUGGAUAGAUGAAAUACAAACCUGCAGUAAACGUUUUGCAAAAGCAGCUGUACGCUUCACGUUGACAUCAGAUUUCAUUGCUCUCAGAAGGAGUCCAAUAAAUGUUUCAGCCUAAAAAGAAAGCACAGUAAGGUAUACAACUGAAAACUAGAGAACAUGAAAAAUAAGAACCAGCGCAGCUGAUUAAACCCUGACAAAAAAAAUAAUAUGCUCUAGUAAUGUUGUAUCUAAACAAACAUUCAGACAAAUCAUAAUAUAGUCACUCAAAUAAAGCACAUAAUCUGUAUGAAUUCAGGUAAUCGCAGUUUUACUUACCUUGGAAGUAUUCAUGGCAGCUGGAAGCAGUAGUUUUGAGUACAAGGCUCGGUAAAACCUAUCACUGACAAUUUGAUUCUUAGAUGAGAUAUGAUGAAGAAGCAUUAGUGCUUGAACUCCAACAUUAAAGUUAGUAGAAUGAACCUGCAUAGCAGUCCACAUUAGAUUCAAUGCUUAAGAUAAUAGCAAAAUCAAGUAAUACCAUCAAAGUUUUGAGUUUACCAAAUGGAACAGUGUUGGCGUUUGGGCCUCAACAAGGUCAUCAGCCUCAUUCUUUGAAACAUAUGGGAAUGCUCUAUUGACUCCCUGUUAGGAUGGCAAGAGAAGGGAUGAAAAGCAGUUAGAAUAGUAUUGGAAAACAGUAUUUCCAUGCUUAAAGUUUAUGCAUAGCUUUUUUUUGUUUCUUUCAUCAGUUUCUUUCAGUGAUUUAUGCUUGAAAGCACCAAGAGGAACAUUGCUGGUGGCAUAUCAUCAAUUUUGACUCAAAGCUAAAAACUAAAAAUGAUGACCCAAUUAAUAUACCAACCAUUAAUAGAGCUGAUAGAAGACGUGAAUCCAAUUCAACAUGAGUAUCUGACGAUUUCUUCCCUUUGCCAUCCUUAAGAGAACCGGGUGGUUUUUUACCCCCUACUUUAUCAGUCUUCUCUGUCUUAUCACCACCACCAGCCUCAGAAAUCAGUACCUGAAACGUAUUUCAUGAAUAUUUGUUUUCAAAUUCAUAAUUUUGGCUUAUAGCCAAAAUUUAAAAUUAAAAGACCCUUAAAUUAGACAUUGAAAUAUUAUACUUCAAGCAUCAUCAAAAUUUUCUCAUUAGAAAUAUCAACAAAACUUCAACACAGAUGAAAUGAUCAGGAAAAAAAGUAUCACUUGCUUAUGUAGAAACUCAGGUUUUGCAACCAUAAGAGGCAAGAGUAUUCAAAACAAAACGUAAAUAUAGUUCGGUCAUACCUUGAAAAGUGCAAAGUAUACAUCUACCAAACUUUUUGCCACCUUUGGUCCAUCUCCUGUAUUUCUAAGUUGAAUUUGGCUCAAAAAGUUUACCUGCAGUUGUAAAAGUGUAGAUCAAAUUUUGUAUCAUGCCAUCUAAAUCAAAGCAUGGCUCAUCAAGAACUAAAACUUCAUUGUUAACCAAACACAAUCAUUUUCUUUUCUCUACAAGCCAAUUGAAGAAAAACAUCUUAUUAAUCCCGGAGUUCCUGAAUGUAAUUGAUCUAAUACAGGCACAAGUUUCAGACAGAAAGACAAUUGACAGAACACGUUGCACCUCACAAAAUAUAUGCAAUCUUCUAUGCAAAUAGGAAAGUGUCUCUUGACAUAUCUAAAUCUUGAACUUACAUCUGUUAUAAGUUCAUUUCAGUUGAAACUUCUGUGUGCAAGCAAAUGUGAAGAACCUAUUAAUGUGAAGAACCUAUUUCUCUACUAUCUAUACCUAGUCACGUGUCACCACUUUUGAUGGUUGGUUUCAAUAUCCGGAGCCUUUGUUGGUUUUUUCUUGCAUUGAAGAUGAAUUGCACCCGACUCUUUAAACAUCUAAUCGCAAUACAAAGGCAGCACAAUCCUUAGCAUCAGCUAAAGAUCCACCACCAUCACCCUAAGAUUUCCAUAAAACUAUAACCAAAUUAUCCCAACUCCUAUAGUUCACUAUACCUAUGCCAAGACAGCAUUAUUUAUAGUAUUACUAACUAAGAAAUCCACCACAACUACUAGAAUCUAAGACAAAAACAGGUUAUAGACUAACAGUCCACUACAAUCCUUAGCAUCAGCUAAAGAUCCAAUCAUCACCUAAGAUUUUCAUAAAACUAAAGCCAAAUUAUCCCAACUCCUAUAUUUCCCUAAACCUAUGCCAAGAAAGCAUUGUUCAUAGUAUUACUAACUCAGAAAUCCAUCACAACUACUAGAAUCUAAGACAAAAAAAGGUUAUAGAUAGAAAAGAAGUAUGUAACCAUAAAAGCUGGAUAGCAAGAGUACCACAGAUGAUAAACGAUGAAUUAAUCUAUUGGCAGUGUCUAUGAUGAGACAUACCGCGUGGUAUUUUGCUUGUAUGCUUAAAUGCGGCCGAAAGAGAAAAGAGUCCACCUCAGCAAUCACCACAGCCUGUUUAAUCACGACAGCUCUUAGUCAGAUAUGAGAUGCCAAAGCACCAAAACAAUUACUAAGAUCCACCAAUAACCGAAGGUAUAUAUAAAAAAGCUAAAAAAUAGAUAUGCCAUAUGCAUGAUAAAAGCUAAAAAAAUGCUAAACAAUUACUAAGAUCCACCAAUAACCGAAGGUAUAUAUAAAAAUCCUCUUGUCAUUAUCAUCGAGAUCAAACUGGAUGCAUAUAUCUGAAAGCACCAAACUUUAAAAGCUGGAUGUGCAGAAGACAGAGAAUAUUUUCACAAGGCAACACAAGCAGGCAGCAUUUUGAUUAGUUUAUUGUACCAUAGUACCUUCAUGUUUGGAUGGUCACGCAAAAGGUUUGAUAAGUGAAAAUCAGCAUCUGAAGCACCCUUAUUUUUCGGAUCUCCCAGCUGCAAGUAAUCAAAAGAACAAAAAAUAACAAAAAAAAAAAAAAAAAAACAAUAAAGCAGGUUAGCAGUAGUGAGAGGGAGAGAGUAUCUUCAAUACAUUUUCAGAGGUGAGACCCAACUUACUUUAUUAACUAUCGCAGAGAGUAAUCUUCGUUCUUGUUCUGAUUUACUCUUUAGUAACACAUAUAUAGUCUGAAAGAAGUUAUGAAGAUAGGAUAUAUGUUAGCAUAAAAUAAACUUAUGAGCAUAGAAAUUUGGAAUUCUUGUUCUAGUAACUUAAAAUUUUUCCUCAGGCAAAUAUGACUCAGAAAGUGAUAUGAGAUAGGCCCUGCAUCUCUAGUAUAUUCCCUUGCUUUGUAUCAGAUGACAAGAGAAUAGGAUAGAGAUAAGAAAAGAAAAGAAGUUUAACCAUUAAAAUUCCAAAUUUUGCUGAAAGCCUGAUUCGUAGAUAUAGAAAAUUAAUACUAGUCAUAAAUAGUGUGCUUUCAAUUGUAAACAGUUUCCUAUUUCCUAAACCACUUCACUGGUACUACGGAAGAGGCACAAGUAUCUGGUCAUGAAAAGUAUAAAAACUAAGGCUGAAAGCUCUUGAGGAAUCAACUAUUAAUUUAUUACUCGAGGAUUUUACGCCGGAAGUAGCACCAAAUAAAAUCAGGAUGAACACUAACCUUCAAUGCCUUGUUUUUAAGUUCAGGUAACAUAUCUCUUGAUGCUUCCUCAAGAGCAAUAACAAAGCGUUCAUACCUGAGAUGUAUAAAUCAGGUUAGGGAUAGAAACAAAUAUCCUAGAAGGAUUGAUUUGGAAAAAUAGAAAAAGAAAUAUACCUUUGUUUCAAGGAUUCCUCCCAAUACCAGAGAAGCAGAAGAGAAUAACCAUCUUUUGUCUCAGGAAGAUCAUUUACAGGCCGCUGUAAGAGGCUCUUAAGCUUGCGAUCAGGUAAUAAACUAGCAAAAGGAAGCAAAUAUCACAUGUUAGAUCAACAGUAAGGCAGAUAAACUUAUAGGCACAAAAAUUUCAGCAAUAGCGAGUCGAAGUUCUAUUUAAAAUUCCAAAGGACAAACAAAUACUUUUAACCAUUUGUCCAUGACCAACAAUAAGGGGGUUCUUGCUAAAACUUAGAUGGUCUUGCAGCAUACCAAACUAGAAAACCAUCAAGUUCACUAAUACCGACCACUUCAGUUCAAUCUGACAUAGAUGCUUGUUUAUAGUUCAUAUUCCCUUGAUGAUUUUAUUGUUUGUCAUUCUACUAUUCUAUCUAUAUAACCUCCGAAUAUGGUUCCAAGAGCAAGAGAGACUGAGAGAGAGAGAGAGAGAGAGAGAGAGAGAGAGAGAGNNNNNNNNNNNNNNNNNNNNGAGAGAGAGAGAGAGAACCUUGUAAGAAACAAUUCCCUCAAUGCAUCAAAACCUGCAAAUGCGUACCGCUUUCCUACUUUCGAUGCUACCAUUCCUGUAACAAACAACAAGUCCCAAUUAACUCACACGACACAUUAUCCAUUCAAAUGUAACACAAUGUACAUUAUCAGCAGACAAACAAAUGUGAAUGACUAGAUUAGAUUACCUAAAAGGGCAUCCAAGGACCUCAAAUUGGCAAUGGGAUCAUCCCCAACCAAAACCGAAAACGCCGAAAUCUUAUCAGAGGCAGUCCCAGACCUCUGUGUGGUAAGCAACAGCUUAAUAUCCCCACUCUUCCCUUUGGAAGCCUCGUAAUCCGCCGUGUACUGCGCCAUCAACCUCUCCGCAAGCUUCCUCUUCUUCCCCACCUCAACACUCCACUCCCUCUCAUUCCUCGCCUCCACUCUCUUCAUCUUCACCGCCACUUUCCCCUCCAACUCCUCAGCUUCUUCGUACCACACUCCGAUAUUAACGGCGGAAAUCAAGGGCAGCUUGGGAAGAUUCUCGAAGCUCUUGGCCUUGUCAUUGUUGGUGUUGAUAUCAGGGAAAGGGGGUUUAGUGGGUUUUGAGAGAUUGGGUUUGGAGUUGUGGGUGUUUCGGUUUUGGGGUUUUGAGGGUUUUGGGGUGGGUUUUUUGGGGUUGCGGAAAUCGACGUCGUUGAAGCCCCCGGAAGAAUCGGAGGGCGGGAGAGAGGUGGAGAGGCCGAGGGAGGAAGCGAAGGAGGCUAUGUCGGUCUUGAGGUGGUCGAUGUUGUUGGUUUUGUUUGAGGGUUUCUUUGAUUUCUUUCUGUCCGCCAUUGCUGGCUGUGGAAGAUGAGAAGGAGGAAAGGGUUUGGGGACUUUUGAGUUCCUGUUUCUAUAGUUUGGCUCUACUGGACUGGAGUAGGGUUUAAGAAGUCGGAACAAACUGGGGCGUUAGGGUUUAGACGGCUGAUUUAUUUAUUUAUUUAUUGGUUACAAAAAAAAUAGUAGUCGAGUGAGCUACCAAUCUGGGAUCGAGAGUAAUUUGUAGGUAUGAUCCAUCACAAGCUGGGGUUCAAACCAAGGACCUCAUAUUGCCAAGAGAAUCCUUGCAGCGUCCGUCCCACUUGCAACCUAACAUGUUUCCAUUAGACCAACUCUACUAUACGGCUGAUUUAUUUAUUUUUUUACCAAAAAAAGAAUAAAACAAAAAAUGAAAUGAAAUUCCCCGUAGCAUUUUUUUUCCAAAGUACCUCUAACAACGGUUUUUCUUUUCGACGCUAGGCAACAAGAGAUCGGUGAGCCGUCACCUAAUGAUUUGCAACCUAAACUAACAUCACGGAGGUCAUGAGUUGGAAUCUCAUUGUCACAAGGCAAGAAAAAAGAUUUACUAGGGAUCAAUAACUCGAUGACUAGGGUCGGUAAGCAUGAAUACCUAUAGAUUAGCCGCCUAAACUAAUAUCACGGAGAUGAUGAGUUAAAAUAUUACCGCCGCAAGGAAAAAAUAGAGAUUUACUAAGAGGUCGGUAACCCGAUUACUAGGGUCGGUAUUUUAACUACUAAGGUCAGUGAGCAUAAAUACAAUUUACUGACCCUUAAUAAAACCUCCGGCAAUUAUCCAGCUAGUUUCCGGCGUGGAUCCGGUCACUCGAAGCUGAGAGUUUUAUCCUUCAACAAGCUGAGGCCUGAGAGUGUCUUUUUUCUUUUGGAGCGGGGAGGGGGAUGGGUGACCCAUCUGUUUUAACCCGUUUAAAAAAAGAAUAGAACAGAACCUGACCGAAAAGUUGGGUUGCUAUUGGUUUAUAGGCCCAAGUAAUUGCUUUUCUUUAUAUUUGGAGGCCCAAAAUUACAAGCCCGUUAGGGUUAGUUUCUAAGUCAUAAAACCCUCGCCGUCCUCAUUCUGCUCUCAGAAGCUCACAGAGAGGCGGAGGCGUUUUCAGUUCCAGAGAUUUCCAACCUCUCUUUCCGUUGUUUCGUAGCAGCCAUGGCGACCACAACUGCCGCUCCUCCGCGUCAGCUCUCCGAUAAGGAGGCCGACAUCCAGAUGAUGUUGGCCGCCGAAGUCCACCUCGGCACCAAAAACUGCGAUUUUCAGAUGGAGCGUUACGUCUUCAAGCGCCGCAACGAUGGUUCGAAUCCCCCACCCACCUAAUUUUUAUUUACAUCUUGAUUUGAUUAUGCAUAUAUUUGGUAUCCCUAAACCUAAACCCUAGUUAGACCAGUUAGUUAGUUGGUGAUGUAGUGUUGUGGAUGUUGUGUAGGGAUUUAUAUUAUCAAUCUUGGUAAGACAUGGGAGAAACUCCAGCUAGCUGCUAGGGUUAUUGUGGCUAUUGAGAAUCCCAAGGACAUUAUCGUCCAGUCUGCUAGGCCAUAUGGGCAGAGGGCUGUCCUCAAGUUUGCUCAGCACACUGGGGUUAAUGCCAUUGCUGGAAGGCACACUCCCGGUACCUUCACUAACCAGCUUCAGACUUCCUUCAACGAGCCCCGUCUCCUCAUCUUGACUGACCCAAGAACCGACCACCAGGUGAGUUUCUAGACAGGGUCGUACAUUUUGUGUUUUGAUUUUUUAGUGAUUGGAUUGGUUAUGUGCCGAAAACGGUGUUUGUGUGGUUGCAGCCGAUUAAGGAAGCUGCUCUUGGGAACAUUCCCACCAUUGCUUUCUGCGAUACUGAUUCGCCCAUGCGGUAUGUUGACAUUGGCAUUCCGGCCAACAACAAGGGGAAGCACAGCAUUGGAUGUCUGUUCUGGUUGCUGGCAAGGAUGGUUUUGCAAAUGCGCGGUUCUCUGAGGCCAGGACAUAAGUGGGAUGUCAUGGUAAGCUAUAACUGCCGUUAUCAAAAAAAAAUUGUUUUCUAUUGGAAUUGUGUGCCUUGAUGAUGAAUUAUCUGCAAGAAACUGAUGGGCGUGUUUAAGAAUGCCUUGUUUCCUGUGCUGACACUAACUUGAAUGGGCAGGUGGAUUUGUUCUUCUAUAGAGAACCUGAGGAGGCCAAAGAACAAGAGGAGGAAGAAGCGGUGCAAGCUCCAGAGUACCUUGAAUAUUCUGGUGGUCUUGGUGGCGAUCAGUGGCCAACCCAAGGUGCUGAGGCUUCUUGGUCUGCUGAUGCGGCCCCUGCUAUCCCAGCAAUUCCUGCUGCGGGCUGGACUGGUGAACCAGGUAUCACCUGCUACCCUUUUCAUUGUUGUGCUAGCACCAUAGUUCUAUAUUAUAUCAUCUCUUUAUCGCCUAGAAUUUUCUGCUGUGGCAUCCUCUGUCCUAAUUUUGCAUGCUUUUAGUUUUUGGUAUUAAGACAUCAACAGUGUGAUUGCUAAAGCAUCUGUGUUCUGAGAGUUUUAAAUGCUAAGAAGUGUGGCAUACUGGGAAGGGUCAAACCUAUACUGACUUUUUGUUGAUUUUGUUUAUCUUUGAAGGUGCGACACAAGAAGGUUGGGAUGCUGCUCCAGCACCAGUGGUUCCUGCUCCUAUCGUUGAGGGUGGUGCUCCCGUAGUGGCCAGUGGUUGGGAUAUGUAAUGGGAGAAGGUUACUGUCUGAGGCUUAAAUAAUUUAAUGUUUCUUUCAGUCUUAAUCUUACACAAUAGUUUAUACAGUAAUUCCUUUAUGUAUGGGGAUAUUUAUUUCUGUUUUAGAUGUUUGUUUAAUUGAAAACCUGAGGCUGCAAUUGUGAAAUUAUCUGUUUGAUUUACAAAUUUUGUUGAAUUGUGAAAUGAUUCAACCAAAGCAUCUGCAGAACCAAAUGGAUAAUCCCAUCCCCGGAUGGCAAACAAUGGAAUAUCUGGAGUUUGAUUUUGUUUGCUGAAGAUCUUAAUAAUAAGUUAUAACACAAAUGUACACUCAUGUUGUGGUGUCUGUCUGCUUUGCAAGUUGUCAAAUUUUGGAUGAUAAGAGUGACUGAUAUGUUAAAUAAAGAGAACUCAUUUUCCUCAUUUUCUAGAUAUGCAAUUAUGCAUUUCUCCGGUAAGUCGUCGAGAUGGAUCUCACUAAACCUUCUGAUCUAGCACCAUCUAAGUCACACAUUUUGGACCCUGGUGAGUUGGGAAUCUCUCGAGCAGGACUUUGAAGCUGAUUGAACCCCUCAACAAUUUGCUUCUCUUGCAGAACAUAAACCGGUUUUUGCCUUGUUGUAGACACAUUCACAUUAUUGCCUUCUCUCUUUUCAGAGUAAUUCAUAUUAGGUUAUUGCUAUUAACACACAUGUUUUUGUUACUAACAUUAUCUAUUUUCUUAUCCACACAUUUUUAUUUUAUUUACAAACUUAUUACUUGAAUUUAAUUGAUGAUUGGUUUUCACCAUAUAGAGGGUGUGUUAAUAACAAAAAUGGGUGUGUUAAUAGCACCACCCUUCACAUUAUUCCCUUUCCUAUUUUCAACAAGUAUUGGGAGUGACAUUCUAUAGCUUCCCUCAUUUUAGUUUCUAGUAAAUAAAAGAGAACCCAAAUUGGAAAUAUAUACUCUCGUUCGAAGAUACAAAAAUGAAAAGAAAAUGAAAUUGAAUGUAAUCUGGACUUGCAACCUGAACAAUGGUGGAUGAAAUAUGUUGUUUUCUAAUCAUCUACGAUCACUUUUGACAAUCUAAAACCUAAAAGAAGCUGUGGAUUUGAGAGUUUGCUUAUUGAUACCUAUUUUUACUUCUCCUAUUGUCAAUGGCCGACCAAUUAAUUUCCACCUUCAAGAAUACGUUUCUCAGCAAAUCCAGUACUAAUCUCUGUGUUGAUAUCUUACCAUUUAUUUUCUGUACAAAAACCAAAUCCUUCGGAUGGGUUGAAUUAGAGUUAUGAUGCAAAACCUUAUAGUUAGCUUCAAAGAAACAGUAACUCCCCGUGAGCUACCCAGUUCAUGAAGCUGUUGGAGUACUCAGGUGGCAUAUUAUCACAUGCGAGAUCAGAUUCACUCUGCCCUCUUCCCUGAUAAAUAAGAAAUUAAAGAAAUUAACAUUUCUUCAAAUGCAGAAAAUAAGAUGGCAAAUAUAAACAGUCUCGAUCAUAGACCUAACAGGAUGUUUGGUAUUCAUUACUAAACAAGGUGGAUCUAUCAAUAUUUCAUGCCAACUACGGCAAGGAGAUUAUAGAUAACUGACCUUUUUUGUGGAUCCAGAUUCACUAGCAGAUGUGCUCGUUUCAAAUUUUGGUGCAUUCACAAGAUUCUCUGAUGAAAGGCUAGCAAUGGACCUUGAGACAAGUAACAAACUGUCAGCAGUCAGAUUGAUACGACUUGUUUCCAGAUGUAAUCUACAGAUUAUAUGUACAGUGUGAGACAGUAGAAUUAAGUUACCUUGCAGACAUUUCUUCUUCACAAGAAUUUCCAGAUGAAGACAACCAGUCCGCAUCUAGAAAAUUUGAGAAGUUACAGUCAUCAUCAUGCUCAUCAUAAUAAAUGUGAUCGCUGUUAAGGCAUUGAUCCUGCAUUCCAUCAAACAGCUGCUUGCUAGGCAUUGGGGGAGUAAUCCUAUAAAAGACGGUUAUUAGACUGGAAGUGGGGUCAACAUAUAAAUUUUUUAUCCUCCAUUUAAACUAUUCUGUUACAUUACAAAAGAAAUUGAAAAAAUAAUAUAUAGAAUUACUGUAGUUCAACACCAGUAGAGACCUAGAACUGUUAAAACAGCUUCUCUUGGUAACAUGUAUAUGGAUGCAAUGCAGGCAUACCUGUGAUAAGAUAUUGCACUUUCACAAGUUGAGAUUGCUGGGGCAGACUCAGAAAUACCCUUGCUACUUCCUUGUGAAAUGUCAGAUAAAGGCUGAUUGUGUCCAACAUCCAUAUUUUCCAUAGGCAGUUCACUUUCACAGAUAGGCGGUUCACUUUCACAGAUUAUGUUGCCAUCUGAUAGUGAUCUUUUCAUAAAUGAACUACAUAUAUACAAGCCAUGUAGUAAAAUGUCAAAGCAAGCCAUAUGCUACUUAUUACUUUUACUAUAUACGCAGAAAAACUGCAACAUUGACUUGCGUAAAUUGUUGAUAAGAACCACGAAUAUCAAAUUAUUUCCCAUCCUCGUAAGCGCAUGAUUUUUUUACAAAUUGCACACAUUUCCUCUAUAUCAACCACUUGGAUACAGCUUCGAAAUGGAGGUGAAAAAUACUACCUUUAUUAUAAUAAUUAAAGAACUUAAAUCACAUUAUUUCCCAUCCUCGUAAGCACAUGAUUUUUUUUACAAAUUGCAUACAUUUCCUCUAUAUCAUCCACUUGGAUACGACUUCAAAAUGGAGGUGAUGAUAAAUACUACCUUUAUUAUAAAGAUUAAAGAACUUUACAAGUUGUUAAGGGAAUACGAGGUGCAAUGUUUGUGAAUGUUUGUGUGAAUGUUUGUGAGUUACUUUCUUAUAUGGUGUCGCCCUCCUAAUUUCUAGCACAAAACACUAACAGACACAUGAUUUCAUACCUGCCAUUGUCAUCGGAAAAAUUAGGAUUACGCCUUCCAACAUGGUAAUGCUGGUAUGAGUCCAACUCCCACAAUGCUGGUUUACCCUGUAGUGGUUGAAAAUGCCCUAGGAAUCUGCACAAUAAUAAAAAAAACAACAGUUUGUUGCAUUACAUGGUAACGUGACCAAGUACAUCAGGGUGCAAAUGUUAACUUGGGCCGACUUGACUUACACAUUAAUAGCAUCCUGUUUCUCAGCAUCCACGUAGGCGUUACUGAAAUAUCGUUGAAGGGUUCUAAGCAACUCUUGGGACUGAGUUGCUGCCUUCCAUUGACCUCUUUUCUCAGAAAAUAUCUGUUUUAAAUCAUUAAGGCAAAAAUGAAAAUAGAGUUCAGUCAGGAUAUAGAUUGAAACCAACCAACACAGUGAUUUCAUCUAACAUGUUAUACUCUUAAUUGAAUAUUGGAGUAUGCCUCUUUAGAAAUGGAUGAAGUAUUGAUCUUGUCAUGGGCCUUGAACCCAUUCAAAAUGGUAAGAUAACAGUUCAGUGAACAGUUUUGACUCAUUUUUGAGGGAUAAGAUUUUAUGCUACGUCAACACAGAGGUCCAACUAUUAAUGAAAGGUUAAAAUGGCAAAUCAAACAAGGGAACACUGAACAAGAAACAAGCAUAACAUAUGGUCAAUCACUUUGAGAUUAUGUACUAACAAUUACCAUCACCACUUUCCUAUCAUAAUGGGAUUCAUCUCAAGUUAUCCAUAUCAGAUAGCCCACACUGGAAGAAUAUCGAAAAUAGAGACUGUAAGUACUCUUUCUGUAAUAUGUUUAGAAGGGUUACCUUGUUGUGAGCUGCAGAACCACCAUACUGUAAUGCAAGAGUGUCGCCCAUUGCCUCAUAAAUUCUCAUCAAAUCUUCUGCCAGAGGGUUAUCCAGAUCAAUAUCUGAGGAUUCUAUAAAUCCUAAAGCGUACAUCUGCUGUCCAAGAGCAACUAGCCCAUAAGCAUACUGGGCUACAUUUGUGCGAUCUAAACAGUCUAUGCAAUUGGUCCUCAAGACCCCUUUCUGAAACAUUGGGGGUUUGACAUUGUGAUUCUUGUUCAUAUCGUCACCACCACUUGCAUUGCUAAUUUCUGUUUCUACGCUAUCAAGAUCCUCAUCUUUACUGGAACAGUGUGAAAAGCCGUCACCACCAUCAUCACUUUUCCUGCAUCACAUUAAAAUUGUUAGCUUCGGCAAUAGCUUCUAGCGUUUCUAGAGAUACAAUAUUAAACAAUCAAAUAAGAAAGAAAAUAACAAAAAAUACUGUGCCAAAAGGUCCCUUCUUCUUUUCUUUUUCAUGAAAAUAAAUGUGCUGUCAUGAAAAGAACUUACUCAAACCAGGAGCCGUGGUAUGAACCCUCCGGCGUUAAAUUCGAUGUUACUCGACAAUAGAAGAUUCCGGUUAAGCUCAAUGCAUAUGUAGCCACUUUUCCAAGAUGAGCCAAUACAUUGGUUGUUUUGCUGCAAAAGAUACAGGUCCUAUUCAUCUCAACCUUACAAUUAGGAAAUAAUCUCUCUUCCUCUCUUCUUAAUUUUAAAAGUACUGGAAAUAAAAAUUUAAAAGAAAAGGGAAAGCUAAUACCUUCUGGCAUGUUUAUGCAGAUCCCAAUGAAGAAACCUUAGGCGGCUCUCCUUUGACAAACUCCUAUUGAUAGAUCGGAUAGCAUUUGCAAACUCUGCACGGAGAAUUGUUUCUCGAGGCUUCUUCUCACAUGUCUAGUAGUCACAAACAUCAUGAGAAUAGUUCAAAGAUCACUACAUUUGAGGUUAUACAUUUUUUCACAGAUUAGUAAAGAAGAGUGGAUGAUCAUUUAAAUAAGUAAUUUUACCUUAAUCAGAUUCAAAAUAAUAAUCGGAUUUCCAUAUCUCUUGACUAGAUUUUCAAAAUGAAGUCUUGUGGCCUCAUAAUUUUUAUCCUUCCUUGAUACUGGCAAAACAUAAAGAGUCAGUAGAAUAUAUGAGAAAUAACCACAGAGAAUAAAACAUGUGGGGAUACUUCACAUCAUACAUAUUAUGUCGGGUUUGAUAUUUAUCCGUGAGGUUUCUUGGGACCAGAAAAGAGGAAUUGAGCCUCGGUUCUGCACUACUGAACUUAUUUGUACUGGGCAUCCUUCAGGAGCAUCUUCAAUCACAACCUGCUCUGUCUCAACAUCGUUAGCAACACUACCUUUCUCAUUUAUACCUCUUUUCAAAUAUCUGCAGACAAUAGGGAGACAAUGAGAAAUAUCAAACCUAGAACGACAGGAGAAAGUUCAUUUGUGAGAAAAUACAAACAAUUUAUUCAGCUUUUAUAAAUCUGUACAAUAAAAGCACAUCCAAAUAUACGAUGGAUUUUACUAUCUUGUAAAAUCAGGGAAGAACUAACUAUAUUCCACGAUGAUCCUCAUAGACUACUAAGAGGGGAUGAAGAUAUGGAAAUAGGUCAUGCAGACGGGACCUUAAUAGUAUGAAAUACGUACAAAGAAUAUAGAGAAGUAAUUUGAACGUCUGGCAAUGAAAGUAUAAUUAUUAACAGAUGUUGAAACAUGCAGAAACAGUGUCCAAACCUGGUGCCAGCAAAGUGACGAGAACGCCUGGCAAUGACAGUCAACUUGAAAUCCCUGCCUGAUACGGAAAGAUUGACCUGGAUAUUGAAGCAUCAGGCCAUUAAUAUCAUAUAAACUUUCCAAUUGUACCAUAAGUAUAAAAUGAUGUGCAUAACAUUUCCUGAGGAAGAACUACUCAGGAUGAAGAAUCAGUUAAUAGUAACAAACAAACGUCCAAACUUGCAUAUUACAGUAACAUGAGAAACCAAGAUUUUACUGAAUGGCUACACUAGUUACAAAAAGCUAUAAAGGAAAAACAAAUCCACACUAGACAGUAAAAUAGAAAAAGAAGUCGCAACCUGUUAGUUAAAUCUCUAGUUAUAGCACAGCCACUGAAGAGUUCAGACUUAAUACCUGUUUGAAGAAUCCAUACACCAAGGCAACUGUCCAGUGAGUAUUCUUCAGACAAUUUCGGAUUCCACGAGUCAAAUACUCAUUCCAAACGAACAUUGUUUCGUAAAGGAAUGGUCCUGUUUUACUGUCGCAUAAGUUCUUUUGAAGACUACACAUUAUAUUGUAUGAGUAGCUGAAAAAGAAGUCCCUUGUCAGGUCCACUGUGCAUAAGAGCUUCUUGUAUCUACGCCCACCCAAAAACAGCAGAAAAUUAGAUCAAAGUCAUCAUUGAAUAGAUCUAUAGCUUAAUCAAAAGAGAAAUCAUAGAGAUAAAACAACUAUCAGGAAGUGCAAAUAUUAACCAGAAAAGGAAAGAAAACAAUCAGAGGAAAAAAUGAAAAUGACUUUCCAACGAAACCCUGAUGAUACCUUCUCUCAUUCAACAUCUUAUAUUAACAACGGCAAUGAAGUUUGCCCCUGCACAUUUGCAGGAAUGAACUGGCUAGCAAGUGGCAAUAGCCCCUAAAAGAACAGUAUAACCAGAAAAGGAUCUAACACAAACAUUUCAUAUUUAUCAAAAUAAUAUCUGUAAGAAUAUGAUUUACCAUUUAUCUUAGUAAAGACAAACUAUAACUACAAGAAGAACAAGAGCCAAGAUUGAUUCGACAAGGCCCACAUCAGUAAUUUCAUGUUGAAGGGUGUAUAACUAGUACAGGGAUUACCUCCAAAAUAAAGAAAUUUCUACUCCUAAAAUAUCAUAACACCAGACUAUUUGCCCAGAUGAGUUGAAUGAAACCAAAAUAACACUAUGACACGAUACUUAUCAAAGUACAAAUGGACAGUGUAAAAUUCUGAAAGCUACUCUCUUUAGAAGUAUCAGGUACAUAUUACAUUUACAUGCAGAAUGGACAAAAGACCUGUUCUCAUUUCUAGAAUAAGCCAAUUUUGACCGCACAGAAGAAUUUGGAACUGGAAUCAUUUCGCUCUUGCUAAUCCCGUAGAUGGUAUGGCCACAAAUUGCUCCAAUCUUCCUUCUUUUUGUAAUAAUAAGCAUGUAAUAAGGUCCAAGAAACUUCACGAACCCUAAAAUGAUUGGAGAACAUCUUGAGAAUUCAACUAAGAAGACAUAAGAUGUGCAAAGGUAUUAAAACAAGCAAAAAGACUUACCAAUAAUUCCAUAACAAAUGGUGAUGAACUUAAGUCCACCCAUUGACUUGUUUCCUUCAUGUAUCCGUUUCAGAAGGUCAUAGCACUCAAUAUCUGUGUAUGUUGCAGAAUCUUCAAGAAUGUUGAGCUCAGAUGGAUCCAACCUAUCAAUCUUUAACACCUUCCAUAAGGUUCUGCUUUUGUCUCUUCCUAUCAUAUAAAAAUUCUGUUGCACACAGGAGUACUAUUAGUAAAUAAUCAGGGUGAAACGAAGACACUACGGGAACAUAUACACACAUUUUCUCCAUUAUACAGUUGAAAACAGCAGCUUUCAAAAUCAAACCAGAUACAAGUGAAAACAAGUCCAAAAACAUGAGAAUUCCGAAGUCUUUAAGAUGAGGAGAAGAAGAUUGUGAGACAAGAACUCGAGCUGGGUUGCUCUGACAUUUCUAUCGAACUAGAUUGACAUCAAGUCAAAAUUUGCCUACACUCCUGAUUCGGUAUAAGAAACUAGCAGAUUCAAUACACAUGUCUGAUAAAUCUAAAGUCUAAGAUACAUGAACUUAUAAUUAGUACGCUCGAACAACCAAAUAAUGAAGUUGACCAAAUCAUUAUAUGUGCAACAACCAAAACCAAAAUCGAAACCUGUUUAAAUCUCAAAAAUGUGUUCGAAGACUCAAAACUGAAUUGAAAUGAGUUCAACACCAUAUUUUCUCAAGUCAAAUCCAGACUCACAAAACCAACAUUGGUAAGAUAGGCUUCUGAUCCAGUCAAUGCUAAUGACCAAAACACAACUCCAAAAACAGAACUCCAAUAUCAACAACAUUUCUGCAUCAAUCAAACACAAACACAAUCUAGGGAAAACAAGUAAUAAAGUUACCGAGCGAGUCUCGUAGAGCUUGAACUUCUGCAGAAAGCAAGGACUGGCGGGUUCGGGUUCUUGGUCGACCCGAUUCGGCAGCUCUUUCUCUGAAUUCAUGAUUCUGAAUCAAAACCCACCCGAGCCUCCAAAAAGCCCGGGCAAAAAGCUUUUGCUUUCAGAACCUGUGCACCACUUUAGACCAAGCAAACUCCUUCUUCAACUCCACAGAAUCUUUCAGACCCUGAAAUUUACUCUAUAUAUACAGCACCAUAUAUACAUAGACAUAGACACAGACAUAUAAAUAUGUACGUUACACAAUGAGAGAGAGACAGAGAGUCUGUAAAGAUUUUGUAUAUAUAUGUUUGAGAAAGUACAAAGCUUUGAUAGAAGAAGAAAGAAGAGAAACAAUUUACAAACAGAAAGAUGUUCUGACUCUCUGUGUUUUUUGCUUAUUAAGCAAAGCAGACAGAGAAAGCCUCAGAUCCUAAAGGAAGCAGAGAAAGCCAAUGACAGCUUCGGCUUUGUAUCCACAAAAAACAAUCAUUGGUUUUCUUUUUCCUUUUUUUUCUUUUCUUUUUUAUAGGGAAAUUUCAUUUUCUUGCUGGGUCAAAUUUAUAUAUUUUUGAAAUUUCUACAUAUUUCUAUGGGGAAAUAGCAAUCUCAGUGAGUCAACUCCAGUUUUACCAAAACUGAAUCACUUUUUUCUGGGAAUCAAAAUAAAUUGGAAAGACCGAAACUUUAUUUUACUGCCAGUGUUUGGGGAAUUCUGUCUUUUUUUGCAUUUUGUUUCUUUAAUUUUAUUGACUUGGCUGGACGUUUACAUCCCAAUAAUGAUUCACUUAUAAAAAAAAAGGGGACAUUUGUAUUAAACUGCAAAUCAUGGAAGGAAGAAUAUACUGAUAUGUGCUCUGAUAUGCCUUUCUCUGGCUCAUUUUGUCUCCUCCUUGAUAUAAAAUACCAGAUGAAUUGUAGUUUGUAUUGAAAUAUAUGUCUUCAUAAAUUACAUAACUCAUAUAAUUCACGGCGAAUUUUUGGUAAUUUGUAUUGAAAUACAUGUNNNNNNNNNNNNNNNNNNNNNNNNNNNNNNNNNNNNNNNNNNNNNNNNNNNNNNNNNNNNNNNNNNNNNNNNNNNNNNNNNNNNNNNNNNNNNNNNNNNNNNNNNNNNNNNNNNNNNNNNNNNNNNNNNNNNNNNNNNNNNNNNNNNNNNNNNNNNNNNNNNNNNNNNNNNNNNNNNNNNNNNNNNNNNNNNNNNNNNNNNNNNNNNNNNNNNNNNNNNNNNNNNNNNNNNNNNNNNNNNNNNNNNNNNNNNNNNNNNNNNNNNNNNNNNNNNNNNNNNNNNNNNNNNNNNNNNNNNNNNNNNNNNNNNNNNNNNNNNNNNNNNNNNNNNNNNNNNNNNNNNNNNNNNNNNNNNNNNNNNNNNNNNNNNNNNNNNNNNNNNNNNNNNNNNNNNNNNNNNNNNNNNNNNNNNNNNNNNNNNNNNNNNNNNNNNNNNNNNNNNNNNNNNNNNNNNNNNNNNNNNNNNNNNNNNNNNNNNNNNNNNNNNNNNNNNNNNNNNNNNNNNNNNNNNNNNNNNNNNNNNNNNNNNNNNNNNNNNNNNNNNNNNNNNNNNNNNNNNNNNNNNNNNNNNNNNNNNNNNNNNNNNNNNNNNNNNNNNNNNNNNNNNNNNNNNNNNNNNNNNNNNNNNNNNNNNNNNNNNNNNNNNNNNNNNNNNNNNNNNNNNNNNNNNNNNNNNNNNNNNNNNNNNNNNNNNNNNNNNNNNNNNNNNNNNNNNNNNNNNNNNNNNNNNNNNNNNNNNNNNNNNNNNNNNNNNNNNNNNNNNNNNNNNNNNNNNNNNNNNNNNNNNNNNNNNNNNNNNNNNNNNNNNNNNNNNNNNNNNNNNNNNNNNNNNNNNNNNNNNNNNNNNNNNNNNNNNNNNNNNNNNNNNNNNNNNNNNNNNNNNNNNNNNNNNNNNNNNNNNNNNNNNNNNNNNNNNNNNNNNNNNNNNNNNNNNNNNNNNNNNNNNNNNNNNNNNNNNNNNNNNNNNNNNNNNNNNNNNNNNNNNNNNNNNNNNNNNNNNNNNNNNNNNNNNNNNNNNNNNNNNNNNNNNNNNNNNNNNNNNNNNNNNNNNNNNNNNNNNNNNNNNNNNNNNCUCUCUCUCUCUUCUCUCUCUCUCUCUCUCUCUCUCUCUCUCUCUCUCUCUCUCUCUCUCUCUCUCUCUCUCCCCUUUCUUCGACGACGGACGUCGCGCAGCCUUGACGACGGACGCCGCCGUAGCCUUGAUGACGGACGUCGCCGUUGCCUCAACUUCGCAAGGCGGUUCAAAUUCCAGAGUUUCUUCUUCUCUACAGAGACGAAACCAGAGCUUCCAAGCUUGAUCGGAAAUGGAGAGUCUCCGUUUACAGACCUCUUCCGUCGUCUUGUGGCUGCGCACUGCUUCGAUCCUCGUCGUUUUUGUCAUUUACGGCAACUCCGACGCUCCAAUCGAUUCCUCCGACUCCAAAUCGGACCUUCCCGUCUCCAUUGCGAUUCUAAUGGUUCAGCUUCGUAGCAAGGUCAUCACCACCACCGCCACAUCAUCCGUUUUCGACAAUCAUAAAAUAGUACUCAGCUCCAGUAAUAAUCAAUCUACUACUACUCCUCACUUACUCCCCAACCAAACUCCACCGGUAAACUUUGAUCCUUCACCUCUCUCUCUCUCNNNNNNNNNNNNNNNNNNNNNNNNNNNNNNNNNNNNNNNNNNNNNNNNNNNNNNNNNNNNNNNNNNNNNNNNNNNNNNNNNNNNNNNNNNNNNNNNNNNNNNNNNNNNNNNNNNNNNNNNNNNNNNNNNNNNNNNNNNNNNNNNNNNNNNNNNNNNNNNNNNNNNNNNNNNNNNNNNNNNNNNNNNNNNNNNNNNNNNNNNNNNNNNNNNNNNNNNNNNNNNNNNNNNNNNCUCUCUCUCUCUUUCUCUUUUUCUUCGAUGACAGACGCUGCCGCAGCCUUGCCGGAGCAUGUUCUGCAGAGUGAGGUGCGCCGGGGUCGGUGAAGGAGGCCGGUGUGCUCGCCAUCGGGGGAGGUGGGUGUCCAGAAAAGAAAUAUGGGUGGCCAGAGCAUGACCUCAAGGCAGUUACUAGUUUUUUUUUUUUUUUUAUCCUUACAUUUGAAUAUUGGGGUAGUAAGUGAUUAUUGGGGUCAGUAAGUUAUUAUUUGAGGUUUGUAAUCUGAUUUGAUUAUUAAGGGACAGUAAGUGAUUAUUGGGUGUCAGUAACUAAUUAUUGGGGGUCAGUAACUAAGUUAUUAGGGGUCAGUAACUAUUUAUUGGGAGAUCAGUAGCUGAUUCUUGGGGGUCAGUAACUGAUUAUUGGGGGCAAUAACCAAGUUAUUAGGGGUCAAUAACUAAUUAUUGGGGGUCAGUAACUAAGUUACCAGUGACGGGAACUCGGCGACCGGAGAAAAUUUGAGUUACUGGGGGUCAGUAAUUGAUUAUUGGGAGUCAGUAAUUGAUUAUUGGGGGUCAGUAACUGUGGGGGUCAGUAACCGAGUUACCGGUGACCGGAAUCCAGAGGUCGUUGACUAGAGCCCGGCGACCGGCGACCGGCGACCGGCGACCGGAGUCCGGUGAGGUUCCGACCAAUUAUUCUCUCUCUUCCACUUUCUCUCUCUAUGCAUGUUUACGGGGUGAGAGUAAAAUUGUCUUAAAAUAAUAUAGUUUGUUAAGACUUUAGCAAAUAUUUGUGCAUUUGGACAUAAAAAAUGUUACCUUAUAUUUAAAUGGGCUAAUGUAAAAGAUUAUCAUUGGAAUGAGAAAUGAGAGGUUUGAAUUAGUACUAAAUAGGCAUUUUCCUAAAAUUUUAUAAUAAAGAUUCUCUUGAUUCGACUUCCACCUCUUUCAACGGUAAGAAACUUAUUUUCAUUUCAUAAAAUUAAAUACUUAAAUGAUUUAUAAUUGUAUGGAUUGUCUACAUGCAUUUUUUAAAAUAGUUUUAGUAUGUAAUUUAAGAUAUAUAAAGAAAAUCCGUUGUCUCUAAAUGUACUGUUCAUGUGGCAGUUCAUGUUUUUACUGCAAUGAUCGGAGUCAAUGUCGUUCUCGAUUUUCAGACUUGAAAAGAAGAAUGACCUGAGGCCCUGAGCCUGCCAUUUCCUAAAUUACCAUAAAUAGAUAAAAAAGAAGAAUUACCGUAAAGGAUAUUUUCAUAUUUAGAUUCACACUCUGACACUUCCUCCUAUCCUAAGUAUGUAAUGUAGGGUCGAGCCAUAUACACUUAAUUUUGUAUAUGUCUUAAAACUUAUGACAAAAAUGAAAAAGAAUAACAAAAAAAUAGAGAAAUUUUAAAUACACACUUCUAAUCUCUUAAUACACACCUCUAUUAUUUUAUAUUUCACAUCAGAUUUUAUAGAUAUAUUUAAUUACAAAAAUAUCUAUCAAUUAUUAAGGAAAAAAAAGAAAAACAAAUGAAACUUCAUCUUCCAUAAAACCUAACUCUUCUCCACUAUUACUACGUAUCAAAAUAAAAGAAAUAAAAAUCUCUUCUCCAAAAUUCAUCACCUAAAUUUCGAUUACUGUCGUAAGCACAUGUAUUAUUUACCGAUUCAUCCAUCUUCCCUAAAACCUAACUCGAUCUUCUCCACAAUCACUAUGUAUCAAAAGAAAAGAAAUAAAAAUCUCUUCUCCAAAANNNNNNNNNNNNNNNNNNNNAAGAGAAUACGUAAAGAGAGUUGUGAAAUAGUAAAUAUAUAAUAAUUAUAUUAAAUAACAGAUUAUUAUUAUUUUUAGAUAUUGAGGGUAUUUUAGGCAGUUUAGGAUGUGUAUUUAGUAUAAUAUUGAAAUAAAAAACUAGAUGAGUAGUGUAUUAAGUAAGGGUAUGUAUUAAGAGAUUAGGGGUAUGUAUUUAAAAUUACUCAAAAAACAGGGUUUGAAUUUUUUUUUUUAAAAACCGUCUUGAAGCUUUAUGAAAAAAAUGUUUUGAGGCGAUACUUACACGUAUUUGAUUAUCUAAAAUGAUAAUUAUAAUGGUUUUGGCUUAUGAACAUAGAUGCAUGUUGGAUUUGAUUAGUUGUAUAAUUCAACCGACUGAAGCAUAAGAAAUGACCUAAUUCAGAAGUGGGUAACCCCAUUCAACACGUUUAGCUGCAUCCACCAUGACCACUUCUCAAUUCUAUUUCUCACACAGUACCCAUAUUUCCAAUCUUCUUCCAUCCUUAUCUUUCAUUAUCUUUGCCUCCCCUGCACGGAAAGAAAAAUCUUCAUCAAAUUAUUGUGGAUAGACUUGAAGCAUGGCCGUCUGAGCGUACUCCUCCUCCUCCUAGGGUUUCUGAGGAGGACGACGACAAGGUCUACCUGGAGGUUACUUGUCAACGUGUCCAAAUCUAAGACGUAGCUGGAGACAGACGAGUUGAUGAUGUGGAGUUUCGUGAACCUUUCCUCUCCAGCACGUGAUAUUUAUUCCAGAUUAUCUUCGACAGCGACGCCACCUGUGGUUGGUCAAAGCAAUCAUUCUUGUACUCGCAGCAACGCCAUUCGUUUCUAUACUCGCUUUCUCAGCAAUAUAUAUAUUAUCAGCAUUUUUCAUGCAUCCUAAAACGUUUGUAAUUCAUUCGAAACUCGAAAGAAAUGGGAUUUUUCAUGAUCUUCAUCAGAUAUGUAAAUUAUGGACAUCAGCUAAUGGAAAUAUAUAUGACGUGUAAGAAUUAAAUUUACAUAUAUAAAAAGAUUAUAAGAUGAAAGAUAUAUAGCUAGGGUUUUGGCACAUCAUUCAGGUUGUGGAAUUAAUGUUACAGAAGCUAGCUAGCUUUCUUAAUUGAUAAGGGUAAUCCGGAAAAUAUUUCAUAGAGUUGACUAGAACAUUUCUAAUUUAUAGCUCUCUUGGCACUUGCACAUUACUAGUCAUAAACUUCAGAAGAAAGUUAACAAGAUUAUUGGUUUAUCCUUUCCAUAUUCCUUUCAAUGCCGAUAAACUUGAUUUUGAUCGAUAGUGAAGAUGUCUUCAUCAUGAUAGGGCUUGGAUGGGUUUCAAUUCAUUCUCACUAAUAAUACAGGGUCGGUUGCGGUUGCAAGAUAAAAAUAUUUGACGUGUGUAAUUGUGUUUCAAAUAAGGGACCUUUCAAAUAACAAAAGCCUCAUACGUUGAAUUAUGGCUUGAUCUAGGUACAAUAAUGUUUGAAUAUCAAUUGUGUACUCACCAAAACUCUCUCGAAAGCCUCACAUGCAUGCUCUUCUCUCACUUGUUACCGUGUUUUUUCUUUUGCAGAAAAACAACCAAAUAACUUUUUAGCUAUCAAAUUUGUUGUUAUUUUAGGUCAUGUACUUGACCAUCUUUGUAUUUUCAGUAACUUUCCAAGGAGGUGUAUGUUGUGAUAUCUUUGAUAUUUAUGUAUCGUUUUAAAGUCUAUAAGGGAGAUUUUUGUUUUCUUUAUUUCCUCUCAUGGAAAAAUGAGGUAUCUCGAUCACUCCUAACAAAUAAAAGACUUUGAAAACAUAUAUGUUAUGAGGGUAAAAAGAAAGACAUGUCUUCGAUAAUAGUUAUUGUUUGAUGAAAAUCUUAUCUUAGGUAGGUAGACUACACAUGGAAAUGGAAAGAUCGGAGAAAAUAACAUCACACUUGUCGGCAUCAGAUUUUAGCCUAAAAUCUGAGAUGUAUGAAUAGCAUAUUUCCAUAUAAUUUCAUUGUUUGGGCAGCGAGUUGUGUUCCGAGCGAGGCUUAGCAUUACGUGGUGGACCUCUGCUUGCAUUUGCAUUAGAAAAAGACUCGUAUAAAUUUCGAGAGAGCAAUAAUUGAGAGAGUGAGAUCAGUGAAAGCUAAGUGCUUCAUAUUAAUCAUGCUUUGCGUAAAAUUGUCAAAGAAGCCUUUCUAAAGAUUUCUAACCAAUCUGAUGAGUGAAGUGGGACUCUGUCUGGGAGAGGUUGAGUUCUUUGGAUUCUCCAUCAACCUAAUCGAGCAUAAAAUUUUAGCAUCCAACUUUUGACAGGUAGAGCAUAUAUAUCAGAUAGAGAUGAACGUCCAUGACUGUGUUUUCCAACGGGGAAGUCGUGGCUCUCCAGAACAAGUCUCUAUCUUCUUUCUAUCUUUUCCAAUUUGUGGCAUAUAACUUUUGCGACUUCAUUCUCCAAUCUACAUCUUCAUCAAUCCUCCUUAUGUGCAUACAAACAAAUUGGCUCUUUCGCGUGUAGCAUAUGCAUACAUAAACUGGUUCGACACUUAUUGUGGAGCAACUAGUCGCCAUGCCAGUGAAGUGAUCGAACCAUUCUGGCAGAAAAGUCACCACAAAGCUCGACGAUAUUAUAAUUUCUAUUAUUUGUCAUUGAUUUUUCUUCUGUACAAAUUUUGGAGGAAAUGAUUUAUUCAAUCAAUCGUAUUAAGAAGAGCUAUUGCUCGAACUUGUAUUUCUGUUACGUCGUAGAAAAUCGACUUUAACCUAAUCAUAACCAAAUCCUCCAUCUUCGUCGAGUAAUCCCAAAAACUUUCCCAUGCAUGAUCUUUAGAGUAGAUCCUUCCUCUCUUUAGAAACCAAACUGAAAAUGUCCCAAAACAAUAGAAUCAAACUGAAGAAACAUGAAUCCUUGCAUCAUUACCGGGCAUAUAUAUAUAUAGGUAUUAAAUUGAAGAGGGGUUUCCGAAUUUAUUAUUAAGGUGAUCAAAUAUAAGGUUGAAGGGUCAUCUGUAUAUCUGAGGCAUAUAUCUUUUAUGUACCAACUCCACCAACCUGUAAUGGUUCUCCACUAACUUCCAACUCACAUAUAUAUUGAGAAUCAUAUAUAUGCUGCACGUACCUUUUCUGGUUCAAGGCAAAGAGUAGCUAUUCUAUCUACACACAAAAUUGGAUCAUCAAGACAUAUACAUAGGCCAUGUUUUUUUCUUUUUUCUUUUUGCUAUAAAUGAAAUUUCAUUAGAAGGGACAAAACCCAGUCCAGUCCCCAAACAUAGGUACUAGAAGGAAUGAGAUCCCUCACAACAUCAUCAUUUUCUCCAUCAACAAGACCUAGAAGAAACCAUGACAGUCGACAAAGAUCCAAGAUCCCGAGCAAAGAACCAAAACAAAGAGCAAUAACAAAUAUAUACCAUGCUUGUUGAUAAGAUAUAACAUCCCUCAUAACCCUACAUUGUCCUUUUGGGAUACCAUAAGACCAUAUGCUUAGCACAAAGUGUACCAAUUAAUAAUGAACUGGGGUUUAAAUGGGGUUUAUAGAAUAAACCUCUAUGAGUUUUAUAAACCUGAUAUCUAGACAUGGGGGACUGUGGUUUCACAUCUCUAGGUAUAACUGAUGAAGAAAACAUUGCAUGAUCUUUUAGUACUCAGUGUUUGAAGCACAUGUGUGGGGGCAAAUGUUGUCUUCUUCCCUACUUGUUCUGUAACAAAAAUGUGGUCCUGUGUGGAUUGCAGAGACCCUCACUUCAAGUUUCCAGAAUAUGAUUAAGUGGUAGCCCUCACAGGCGUGAUUGAAAAAGAUACCAAAACAAUAGGAUAGUUAUAUAUACAACAUGUGAUAAAUUAAGGAAAUUUUCGAUGGCUUCCAAGAUGAACAUCUAAAACCCCUCUAAAAAUCACAAAUUUAGGACUGAUAAUGAAAGAGGUUUUAAGAACUACUGAGCAGUCUUGACUCAUAAGGCUUCUGAAGUGCAUAUCAGGUUAGAAUCAAGAUUGUUCAAAUAGCUGUUUCAUAGUGUAAGGCCCUGUGACAUCUGAAGGUCCAGUCCAUAUAAGCUCAGCUAGUUGGAGAUUGGCACUUUCAGUUGUAUGACCACCAUCAAACCACACAUACUCACUGGGGUUGCUGCAUAGCUCGUAUGGUUCUGUGCCACAAUGAGACCCUCUAAAUGCCCCACUGCCACAACAAGCAGAUGUCCCAUUCUUGAAUCCUUCACAAUUCAGCAAUCAAAACAAGAAUUAAAAUUAGGGUUUCUUAAUCCCGCUUUUAGUAUCCGAAACGCUAGUUUAUCUUGAUUAGAAUUCGGAUACUUAAACUGAGACAACAGUAAGCAAUGCUAGCAAAAGACCAUAUCAGUGAAAUGAAUGAUGCAGCGUACCAUAUUUUGAAGGAUUGUUAACUCUGUCCCCAAGUGCAUUAUAGUAAUCAAAUAUGGAGUACUUGAAUCCUGGUAAAUGGCUCUCCAACUUCUUGAGGGCAGCAGAGAGAGCUCUGUUAUGUAGCCUGGCCAAUUUUAAUGGUUCUUCAAGGCAUUCACUACCAACUUCAGGAUUUCCUGAUUUCACUGCAGGUAUGCAGCCCAAAGGUGCCACAUUCUGAAAUGCUAUUUUCCUUCCUCCUAACUCAUACACUUCCUAUCAAUACAAAGAUGAAUCAGUUCACAUAAAAAAUCCAAGGUCCAUUGCAGCAUAGUGGAUGUUCUUACUUUGAGUACACUGGUCAAGUUUCUGAUCACCAUUCCUACAUAUUGCCUCUUGUAGCUCUUAGGAGCUUUUGGCUGUUGGGUAAAGAGGUUAAUGUAGUCAUUUCCUCCAAUGCUGAAGAAAUAAACAGCUCUCCCUAACAACUUCUUGGACACUUUUUCACCCAAUUUCUGAUGCAGUGACCUCUUCAUAUCCUUAAAAUUGCUCAACUGAUUUGGAAGACUUAUCUGGGAAACCAAAGGGACAUCCAUCUCUUAUAUAAGAAAAAUAAAACAUGAAAGCCACUUAAACUGAACAUUUUGGUAACAAAGUGAGUUUCAUGAUUGAACCAAUUAAUUUAUUCUGAUCGAUAUAGAAUCUAUCAAGACUCAACAUGCCAAACUAGUUCAGCUAACUUUCAUAUACCCUAAGUUAAGGACUGAGCAAGACAUAUAGACUUAAUUGACUUUUGAACUAGAAAAGUGACUGUUACACACCGUUCCGGGUUGAGUUUCAGGCAGAACACCAGCUCCGGCAGAAGCAAAGUUGGUUCCAUCGCUAAAUUGAUGAGCACCAGGUUCCAAGUAUGGUGGCGGCAAAGGAAGAUUAGCAAACUGAGCUGCAGCCAUCAAAUCAAGCAACUAAUGAUUAUUCAAGAAAACAAAUAACUCAUAUAAUUGACAGAUCAUCUUACCAAUAAAAUCAGGGACAAUGCGGCCGUCGGAGAUUCGACCAGUGGGAUGGUCGAAGUAAGUUUCCCCAUAUGGCCAGAUAACUGCAGACCCUUCCACACUGGUAUUCAGGUAUUGGUUGUUUCCGGCAUCGAAGAGUGAGUCACCAAACACAAACAGGGCCUUGUGGGUUGCUUCUGGUGUGGAUCGGUGAGAAGAGAAGCUUACUGGGUCGAAGUUGAUCAGGGUUAGUAACAGAGAGUAGAGGUAUCCAAAACUAGCCAUGGUGAGUGACUUCAGGUGUUCAGUAGUAGUAGACUAACAGUUGGGGAUCUUUUGUAUAUGAUUUCAAAUGGGGUCAUCUUCUGCAACAACAGAGGAGCAACUACAUAUUUAAUAACUUAUAUUAUUCUGGUUAGUGUGUCUUUGACGUGAAUAAUGAAAGUAGAAAGCACUUGACCAAAAGAAAAAUUGUAACUGGUUCUGUUCCAGACUUCCAGUUGAUGAGUGAUGACUUGUCGGUAUGAGGUCAUUUUGGUAGUUCAAUACACCAAUCGCAAAAUGAUUUAUUUAUUUAUUUCAUCUUUUCUAAGUUUUAUUUUCACCUUAGCAUGCUUUGGAGGUUUUUAAUAUUUCAAUAUUCAUUUUACAUCUAUGAAUUUUUUUUUGAGUGUCGAUUGAAGUAAUGUCAAUGUUGAAACUUGAGACUUUUGAAUACUACUAUUACUAUAGAGUAUUUUGAAUAUCUUAAUUAAUUAGUGAUGUAGAAUAUAUGAAGAUAAAGAUUAAAGAACAUAUUGAUUGUGGCAAGUUCAAACCUGGUUUGUUCCAGAUUUGAAAUUCGGUGUCUGAUUGCUAAUUAUAAUACAUUUUCAGAAACGGAACGGCGAUACAAGUCUAAUACGUCGCUUUGCCUUGACGUAUGAGCUUUUUCGAUCAUCUGAGCCUGUUUAAAGCAACUCCAACAAAAGAGUCAAAUCCACGUGGCCACCUAUAACGGUAAUAAAUGACAAUUUUCAACAAUCCAACCAACCAGUUAAAUCCGACAUGUAAAUGACUCUUUGAUUCGGUCGGUCAAGUUUGACACAGCCAGAUGAAAUGAUCUUUAUUUUUUAUUGUUUCUUCUCUCUCCUUCUCUUCGUUUCUUCCACCAUUCUCUAUGUGAAACCAAUCAUCUUCCAUUAUUAUAUUAAUUUAUUUUAACUUGUUGGUUGAAGUGUAAAAUUUAUCAAAUAGUCAAAUCCAGGUCAAAUUUCAAAUUUGACAAUUUUUUUGACUACAUGAAUGGAGUUGCUUUUAGGGCCUCAAAAUGCAGAUUUACUUGUUUUAAUAUUGUCUUUAAUAUUUUAUUUUUCUAAGUUUGUUCUGCAUUUGUUUUUCUUUGUAAUCAGUGCGGUUUUAGGCUUAGUUGUUAGUUGCCCUAGGAGUUUAUUUUUUUAUAUAAGGACCCUUAAUCUGUUGUAAUCGUCAUCUUUCAUAUUAAUAAAAACCAUGAGAUUUUCUUAAGUUUUCUUGUGGAUUCGAGAAAUCCUAGACUUGUGGAUUCAAGUUCACCAAACCCUAGACUUGUGGAUUCAAGUUCACCGCUGGUGAAUUCCAACGUGAUAGUUCCGCUGCAUCAAUUAGUAGAACCGACCACAUCCAAUCGGUGAGACAACUCCAUCUAAAACAUAUACUUAGUUUGAUAGUUUUGCUAAAGGGGUACGGCUAGUUCAUUAACAUAGUAAAAGUUACAUAUAAAUAGCUCACCUAAAGGGGCUACAACAAAAUUUAGUCAUCCGUAGGCCCUAACUAAUUGGAUUGAAACCAAGAUAUACAAUACAUAGGCAACCUAAUACGCAACUUGUACUAAAUUAAACCAAUUAAAGCAAAGCAACACAAGGGUUGUGAUGCUAGAGACUGAACUUGAACGAAACCAAAUACUGCCCCAACUACAUUAGUUCGAUGGUUGAGAAUGAUACAUAAGUAAUGGUUGAAAAUGCUCACGAGAAAGGUGAUGGCUUUGUGAUUGAGAAUGUGCACAAUACUCACCUGGUGGCUAGUAAUAUAAGUAUGAAUGUUUCUGCUGGCCAUGCUAAUGAGGUUGAUGAGGUUGAUGAGGAUGAUGAGGAUAAGGAUGAUAUUGAUGAUUCUAGCGUUGAGGAAAUAUACGAGGAUGGUAGUGGUCAUAAUAAUCAUAGCUUGGAGAGUACUUGUAAUUCUCCACAGAGUCAAAGUUGGCAUGACACGGUAGUGGAGGACCAAUUUAUUAAUCAAACUGAGGUUUCCACAGGUGCAGUCCCCCCUGGUUUUGAGCAUGUGGGUGUUUUAGCAAAAGAUGUUUCUUUAAUAACUAGCCAUGUUGAGAAAGGAGUUCUAGUGGAGGACGAUUUUGUUAAGGCUCUUUCAAAAUCACAGAAGAAAAAACAGAAACAACAAGCCAAGCAUGUUGUUGCUGCUGCUGCUAGUGAGGGUCCCUAUCCAAAAAGGGACAGGAAAAAAAAAUCAAAAGUAUGCAUAAUGAAGGUUCUUUAUUGGAAUAUUAGGGGAGUCGGUAACUCUGACUCUCAAUCUGAACUUUCAAAUAUUUGUCGUAUUUAAAGACCUGAUCUGGUUUGUAUUUCUGAGCCGAUGGUAGCCUUUGACUCAAUCUCUUCAGCAUUCUGGUCUGCUUUAAAUUUGGACUUUGUUACGGUUAAUGAUCGAGGAUCCAGGCUUCCAAAUCUUUGGUUGCUAAGAGGUCGUCAUGUUCCUAGUCCAGUGAUCAUAUCUAACACGGAGCAACAAGUUACUAUUCAGGUUUCUUUUGAUAACGAGCUUAGUCAAUUUUCUUUUGUUUAUGCUUCUACUUCUUACAUUAAGCGCAGGGAUUUAUGGCAUGACUUCUCAGUAAUUAGUGCUCAAACCACUGUCCCCUGAAUGGCAAUUGGUGACUUUAAUUCUGUGUUGGGAGCUCAUGAGAAGUCAGGGGGUCCUCCUCCAUCUCGUAUUUCUUGCUUGGAGUUCCAGAAUAUGUCAGAUGCUUGUGAUUUUGUCCAUUUAGACACUGUAGGUGCCCGUUUUACUUGGACAAAUGGUUGUGGAACUAGGGUGCAUGUGGAGCUUCGAUUAGACAGAUUCCUUUGUAGUACUAGUUGGUUUGAAGCAUGGCCUUAUUCUAGUUGUAUUGCCCUGCCUCGGGUAGUCUAUGAUCACACUCCUUUAAUUUUCUCUGCUUCAAAGCUCUCCCCAUGUGGUCCAAAGCCUUUUCGGUUUCAGUCCAUGUGGUUGAAUCACCCUACUUUUCGUGACACAAUAGCUACAUGUUGGACUUCUAGUAAGUUUUGGGGCUGGCCGAUGUAUGUCAUUGUGCAAAAAUUGAAGGCCUUGAAAUCUUGCUUGCGAAAUUGGAAUAAAAUGGUAUUUGGGGAUGUCCAUCAGAAUGUUAAUAAGGCUCGUGAAGCUUUAUCUGCAAUUCAGCAGGACAUUGCUAUUCAUGGUAUGACUGACCAAAAAUUUGAAGACGAGGUUGAUGCAAAAUUUCGUGUUUUGAAUGCGGUCAAGAUGCAAGAAAGCUAUUGGAAGGAUAGAGCUCGAGUAAAAUGGCUCACGGAUGGGGAUCGUAGUACUUCAUUUUUCCAUGCCUAUGCCAAGGUUCGUUCUGCUAGUGCCCGUAUGUUUUCAAUUCAUGAUGGAGAAAGGAUUCUUUUUGAACCCUCAGAUAUUGUAGCUCAUGUAGUGGGGUUUUAUCAAAAUCUUUAUUCUUCCUCCUCUACUCCAAGGAAUCUAGAUGAGGUAUGCUCUGUUAUUCCUUCUUUGGUCACCAAUGCAGAAAAUGAUUGGCUUACAGUAAUCCCUUCUACUGAAGAAAUCAAAAAUGCUGUCUUUGCUAUGGAUGCUUCCAGUGCACCUGGCCCCGAUGGAUUUCCAGGUUGUUUUUAUCAAUCUUGUUGGGAUAUUGUCGGUUCAGAUGUUGUUGCAUGUGUAAGGCAAUUUUUUAUGCAAAAUUGGCUGCUUCCUAACAUAAAUUGCAACUUCUUGGUUCUUCUUCCAAAAGUUCAGGAUGCCCAUGAAAUUACUCAAUUUCGGCCGAUUACCUUAGCCAACUUUCUUUUCAAGAUAAUUCUAAAGAUCUUGGCUUCUCGUUUGGGACCAAUUGCUGCUCGUAUAAUAUCUCCAGAGCAAGGUGCUUUUAUUCCAGGUAGGCGGAUUACUAGUUGCAUUGGCACAGUGUCUGAAUGCUUUAAUCUCCUUGAUCGCAAGGCCUACGGUGGUAAUGUGGGGAUCAAAGUGGAUAUUGCUAAAGCAUUUGAUACGCUGCAUUGAGAUUUUCUACAUAGAGUCCUCAAGAAUUUUGGGUUCUGUAAUAUUUUCACCAGUUGGAUUAUUACUAUUCUUAAGUCGGCAAGGUUAUCAAUCUUAAUUAAUGGUUCUUCUCGUGGGUUUUUCUCUUGUUCUCGUGGUGUGAGGCAAGGGGAUCCUCUUUCUCCCUUAUUAUUUUGUCUUGCCGAAGAAGCUCUCAGCCGUGGUUUAUCUAUGUUACUUGGUUCGGGUCAAUUGAAGCCUAUAUCUUUUCCUAGAACCUGCACUCCCCCUUCUCAUGUUUUAUAUGCAGAUGACCUUAUUGUUUUUUGUCGUGGGGAUAAAUUAUCUCUUAGCCAUUUGAGAAGGUUUUUUGACCGUUAUAGUGCAGCUUCUGGUCAAUAUAUUAAUGCGGCGAAAAGUACUUUUUACCUUGGUGCCAAGUAUCAUCAUAGGCAAGCAACAAUUCAACGAAUAUUGGGGUUCCGUGCAGGUCGAUUGCCUUUUAUUUAUUCGGGUGUCCCAAUUUUUUGUGGCAAGCCCCGGAGGUGUCAUCUUCAAGUUAUUGCUGAUAAAGCAAAAUCAAGACUUAUGGGUUGGCAGGGACGGCUUCUUUCUAUAGCUGGUCGGACUCAAUUGGUGCAAUCAGUUUUUCAAAGUAUGUUGCUUCAUAGUUUUUCUGUGUAUCAGUGGCCGGUGUAUUUGGUGAAGAAGCUAACUUCAUGGGCAUGAAACUUUAUUUGGUCUGGUAAUAUAGGGACUCGGAAAAUCGUCACUAUUCGCUAGGCUCAGGUUUGUGCCCCAAAGCUGGAAGGUGGGCUUGGUAUUCGUGAUCUUUCCUCUCUUAAUUCAGUUGCUAUCUUAAAGUUUGCUUGGGAUUCUUUCUCUUCUCAUUCUCAAUGGGGGGAUUACGUAUGGUCAAGGUAUCCUAUUCUAUCGCCUGCAAGCUGGGCUAUCGCAAAUCCUCAAUUUGGCUAGGUUUUCGGUCGGUUGCUUCUGGUUUUAGACAAAAUUGUUGAUGGUUAAUUGGAGAUGGUAAAACUGUGUGUUUUUGGAAGGAUAAAUGACUUCAAGCUCCUAUUUUGGAGACUUUGGGUAUCUCAAAUUGGUCUUAUUUCAGCAAUCUUCAUGUCGCAGAUUUUAUUUCUCAUUAGUCAUGGCAGCUUCCUCCUUUCUUUUGCCAAACUUUUCCGUUCUUGGCUAGGCAGAUUUCAGAUUUGGCACUCCCUCUUAUUGAUGAGUCAGAUAUGCUUAUUUGGGAGCCCUCUACCUUCGGUGAGUUAACUUUUUCUGUUGGGUAUAAAUUUCUGAGGCACCACAACACUGUCAAAGAUUGGGCUUGUAAUGUAUGACGAUCAUUCAUCCCACCUCGUUACUCUUUUUUGGUCUGGAGAAUUCUUUUUGAUCGGCUUCCAACUGAUGAUAGAGUGAAAAUUAGCGGAAUUCCUAUUGUGACUAUCUGUCAGUUAUGUUAUUGUUCUGGUGAGACAUCAUUGCAUUUAUUUUUACAAUGCUCUUUUUCCCAACGGGUCUGGAGAUGGUUAGCUGCUCAAUUUGACACUUUUUUAUCUUCUUUCAACUCCCUGAUAGAUUUUUAGAAGAGCUAUUGUUGAAAGCCUUUCUCCUCGCAGCUUUUUAAUUUGUGGCUAGUAGCUGGCAUGUUUACUUUCAUGGCUCUAUGGAAGGCUCGGAAUAAGCUAAGGUUUGAUAAUCGAUCCCCUAAUUUUUAUACAAUGUGUUGCUCUAUUAUGGCAUGGAUUCGUCAAAUUAGCCUUUUUGCUCCUGCUCACUAUAAGGGUGUUCUUGAUGCCCGUUUAUUGGCCUCUCUUGGAGUUGCUCCUAAAGGUGGUAAGGCUCCUAGAAUUCAACAUGUCUUAUGGCAGCCUCUGUUUUUUCCUUGGAUCAAAGUUAACACAGACCGUUUAGCAAAAGGCAAUCCAGGUCCAGCAGCUUGUGGGGGUGUGUUUCGUGAUGCCUCAGGUGGGUUUUUAGGGAGCUUUUGUCAUUCGCUUAGAUGGAAUACUUCCUUUUAUUCUGAAUUUUAUACUGUUAUUUUGGCAAUUGAAAUUGCUCAUGAUAAAGGGUGGGCCUACUUAUGGUUGGAAAGUGACUCUGUUAGUGUGGUAGCUUGCUUCUCUUCCAGGUCUUUUUCUCCUUCGUGGAACUUAAGAGUUCGUUGGAAUAACUGUCUUUCUAUAAUUCGUCAAAUGAACUUCUGUUGCAGUCAUAUUUUUAGAGAAGAAAAUAUGGUAGCUGACAAUAUGGCAAACUUGGGGUUGUCAAAUGCUUCAUUUACUUGGUAUGAUAAUCCUCCUACUGAGCUUCAUGGUUUCUUGCAAGCGGAUUAUUUGGGUAUCCCUAAUUAUCGGUUUUCAUAGUGGGAAGAUUGCCUGGUUUUUUAUGGGUAGAAGAAACAAUGUCUUUUUGUAUGUUGUUUUGGUUUGUAAUUGGAAUGGUUUUGGCCUAGUCCCCCAUUCCUCUUUUCAUGUAAUUUUUUUUAUUAUUUUAAAUAAAAUUUCUGAUAAAGGACGGGCGGUGGGUUCCUGGUUGUAGCGGUUCCUUUUGGGGUAGAGUGGGUGCUCUGUCACCCACCAGACUGCUACAGAGGAGCUGAUAUCGUCUAAUCUUUGUCGGUUAAAAAAAAAAAAAAAACACGUAGUUCAGCCAAAGGAAAUUAUAUUAUUGUGUGAGAGGCUGAGAUUUACAAAAUGACAUCUACAGAAUCCUCCGAAGGCAAGUCUCUAAAGAAGCUGAAAUGCAAUCAUGUCGGCUAUAGUACAACAAUCAAAGAGGCUAAGAACUUUGAAAAGUCAAAACUCUUAUAAGGUACUUAAUUAGGCUGUUAACUGAAUCAAGCAAGCUCAAAUAGUUGUUUCACAGUGUAAGGCCCUGUGAAAUUUUGUGGUCCAUUCCAUAUAAGUUGAGCUAGCUGGUGGUUGGCACUUUCGGUUGUAUGAGCUCCAUCAAACCACACGUACUCAUUAGGAUUGCUGCACAGUUUAUAUGCUGUCCCAUUCUUUCCACCACCACAAUUAGACCCCCUGUAUGCUCCACUUCCACAACAAGCAGCCUUUCCAUCCUUGAAACCUUCAUAAUUCAACAACCGAAAGAGAUGCUAGAAUUAGCUAGGGUAAGCUAAUAGCUUCUUAUACCGGAACAUUGAGAAUUCGGGUCUCAAUUUAGUACCCGUGAACUCUAAUGUGUCCCAAUAUACUUAGUUGCUAAACAAAAAUGAUCGAGAUGAACUGAUACAUGGUCAAAGUUCAGUUUAAUGAAUGAUAGAGUGUACCAUAUUUUGAAGGGUUGUUGAUUCUGUCCCCAAGUGCAUUGUAGUAGUCAAAUAUUGAGAAUUUGAAUCCGGGUAAGCUCUUCUCUAACUUCUUGAAAUUACUGAAUAGAACUCGGUUGUGGAGUCUGGCUAGUGUUAAUGGUUCUUCAGAACACUUACUACCAAGUGCAGGAUUCAUUGCCUUUGUUGCCGGUACGCAUCCCAGAGGUCCUACAUUCUGAAAUGCAAUUUUCCUUCCUCCUAAAUCAUAGAUUUCCUGUAACAUGAAAGUUAAAUUAGUCUUACGUUCAAACUAAAAAAGUAAAACAAAAGUUUCAUAGUAGAUGCAUGUUCUUACUUUGAGCACACUGGUCAUGUUUCUGAUCACCAUUGCUACAUACUGUCUCUUGUAGAUCUGUAGAGCUUUAGGGUUUUUAGAAGCGUAGCUGAAGUAGUCAUUUCCUCCAAUGCUGAACAAAUACACAGCUCUGCCCAGCAACUUCUUGGUUUCCUUAGCACCCAGUCUCUGGCUCAGUGACUUCUCCAUGGCCUUAAAGUAGCUCAAUUGAGUUGGGAAGUCUAUCUGAAAAAUCAAAGAAAAUAGUUCAUCUACUGAAGAAAGCUUUUUUCUUUUUUCUUUUUUGAGAAGAAAGCUUUUACACAACAAUAUGUAAGUGAUUAGUGAUUACUUAAAUGAACCGACUGAUGCUGUCAGCUGGCAUUAUUGAAAUAUAAUAUCACGAUCCCCAAAUUUAUGCAUCUCAUCCUGACAUGGUAAUCCUUCUUCAACAAUAAAAGAAACUAAUAUGAAUAUUAUCUUUCUUCAUCCUUAAGGUCACUCACCGCUCCGGGGAAAGUUCCGGGAAGAACACCAGCUCCAGCAGAAGCAAAAUUGACCCCAUCUGUAAAGUUAUGCGCACCAGGUUGCAGAUAUGGUGGUGGCAUAGGAAGCUUUGCAAACUGAGCUGCAGCCAGUAAAAAUAGAAAACCAAUUAACAAACUAUCUAAUUAACAUCUUGAUUAUGUUCGACAUACAUGACAUUCAUGUUAGUAACUGAAAUUAACUGAUUUUUCUUACCAAUAAAAUCGGGUACAAUGCGACCAUCGGAAACUCUACCGGUGGCGUGCUUGAAGUAGGUUUCACCGUACGGCAGCCUAGUUGGUCCUGCUCCCAUGCCGCUACUCCCAUUGAGGUAUUGGUUGUUCCCAGAAUCAAAAAGUGAGUCUCCAAACACAAACAAGGCCGCCUUGUGUUGUGGUUUGGAUUGGUGAUGAGCAGCACAGAAGCAACUAUCUGGGCUGAAACUAAGAACAGUUACAAGUAGUAAAACACAGUAAGCAGGGUAACCAAGACUUGCCAUGACGACGACGAGUUCAGUUAGUUCAGUUUUUUUUGUAGAUGGACGUACUGGUAGCCGUUGGUGACUUGUUGUAUAUAUAGCUGGGUUGGAUCUCUUGGAUCUAUGCUAGGUAUGGAGCAAUUGCGCGUGUAGUAUAAUGUGUUCCCACAUUGAAGGACAAAAUGAAAUUCUCAACGUGGAAAGGAAGACGACGUUGUGUGGUGGGAACGUAGACUUUUGAACGCGUUCAGAUCACUACUUGAGACUCGCCGACGGACGAGAUCGAUGAUAUGGAAUUAGUGGAUCUUGAAUCAAAGCAUGUGACUUCUUUUGUUUCAGUUUUUCAUAGCGAUCCCAUGUGAUGUACCUAGGUCGGUGAGUGUUUGAAAAGAAAUUUAUUUGGGUUUAUAUAUGCUAAAAUUUUCAAUUGUUUGGUCGAACAAGUUUAGUUGUUUAGUUGAAAAUUACGACAGUACGUAGAUUAAAACGUUUUGAUAAAAACCGAACUAACAUAGAAAUUUCCUUGCAAUAGCCAAGUAAUGAGAUGAAAUUAGAUCAAUUCGAUCCCCUCUGAUGAAAAAGAACCAAAAGGUAGCAUAGUUCUCAGAUUUUUCUCGUUUUAGCAUCUAACUUUUAUACACAUGCAUGCAGCCUUAUCAAAAUGGUUUUCUGACUGUAUAUUUCUAUGCAAGAAUGUGUCCAUCUCUUCUUUUGGUAUCUUUCCAAUUUGUGGCUCUAUUCAACUUCCUAAUAUUUAGACUCAUUUCCCAUCCAUGGGAACAAAAAACUUAGAUACAUUAAAGGCUUUGAGAGAGUGGGAUCCAGUUUUGCCAACUGAUGUCUCUCUCUCUUUCUCUUUUUUGAUGACCAUCAGUUUUGCUGGUUGGCAAAACUGGAUCCGAGAGAGUGAGGGAGAUCGGAGAAUCUUCUGUCCCCAUUUUUCCUGUCUCCUUCCCUGUUUUCCAUUAAAAUUUCGACAUCGGUCAUCCACAUCAUCAACAUUAACAUCCACUUAACAGAGUUAAAGAACAAUUAUUUUUCCAGAAUUAAAACCAAAUUCUUUCCUGAAAAAAAAAAAUGCAAUCCCCCGAGUCCAGAUCUGCAGUGCAGAUCAAAUUGAACUGAAGGGUUCUUCAAACGAAAGGCUGUGGAAACGAAGGAAUCCCACUUGCUGAUGAGAAUGAGAGGAUGAAUCACGCAUCCUUCCACUUCCAGAAAAGGACAAAAACAACAAUUUAUUUGAAUUACAUAUGAUCGAUUAAGGGAUUUCAAGAUCAAGAUUUUUGAUAUGGAGAAUGAACCAAAAACUUGAAAAUCAUGGACCCAUUUUGAUAAACCAAAAUCAUAGUAAAUAAAUAAAUAACACAAGAACACAGAGAAUUGUUUACUACAGUGUAAACCUCUUUAGAGGAAAAAUCACUACGAGACCUUAUAGUAGUCCACACUUAAAACAACUUUACUAAGAAUAGAUAUAGAUUACACAAUCAUUCAAGUAGUGACAUACACCAUUGUCACUUUACAGGUAUUACAAACCAACUUGAUUUUCCAGAUUAUAAUCCUAUACUAAUUCUUGACUUCGUUGUUUUGAACUUCAACAUAUAAUCAAUCCAUCUGCAACAAACUUCAUACACUGAUCUGGAUCAUCAUAUAUAAGAGUUUAAAGGUACUAGAACGUGAAGCAGGGAUUGAAACAGAGGAAAAAUCAACUGACAGAAAAUUAACAUAGAACACCAGAUUUUUUACGCUAUGUAAAAACCUCAAAAUAGAGGAAAAAUCACAGCGGAGCACAAGCUCAGAAAACGAACUCAACUAGAUGAAUUUGUGUAGAGUCUUACAACCUCUUUGUAAACCCUAUACUAUUACAAAUCCCUAUCUCUAGGCAGAACGUCUUCUUCUUCUUUCUUCAAUGAUCUUCUCUCACACACAAGAGAAUCACAAUCACACAUAAACAAGUCCAACUCAACAAUGAACAGUUGAACUUGUAUAUUCAGAUGAGUAGCGGAAUAAACACAAUUUCCUCUCAAACGCCAAGCGUGCAGAGAUACCUAGUCCAUAUGACUUGCGCCUCUUUUAUAUAUGUCUCCAAUAUGUUUGCGCACACACACUCCUAGUUAUCCCUGAUGCAGCCCUAUUAGAUUCCAAAUAGGAAAAUCGGUAAGACUCAAAUCAUAGGAUAAUAACAAAAGAUAUUAUUAAAAUGCUAGCAUAAAAGUUAUCCCAUCAGAGAAGGAUUUCUUCCUCACGCAGCUAGCAUAUGAGACCUAUUCAAAAUAGAUCUUCUUGCCUUUAUUUGAUUCCACAACCAUAUCACAUAUUGAGAUCCUAACCAAGUUAGGAUUCAAUUACUUCCACGGAAAUAUCACAUACAAAUAACUUAUUCCAAUUAUAAUAAUAACACAUGUACGUAUGCAUAUCACAAUUAAGAUCAAUAACAUAAGUCAAGAUCUCAUUGCCAUGCACUAAAACGAUAUGAUAAUCCAAAGAUCAUAUAACCUAAUCAAUAUAGGAUUCUUUCCUUUCAACUAAAGAUCAACUAAUCAUAUAUAUAAUGAAUACAAAUCCUAACUAAUUUAGGAUUUUGUCUUCAUGAUUCACACGCACCAAAAAAGACUAGUAUCACCUGUAUUAAUAUUUCAUUCAACAAAGAGAGAUAUAACAAUAAAGUCCAAUUUAUUUUGAUAUAGGAAUGCCAACUAAAACAUAUACCAAUAGAGUUAGAUGAAAUGAUAUGAGACAAGAAACAUGAAAAGCUUUAACCAAAAAGGUGGGGCAUGCAAUGCAGCCACAAAACAAAGAAACCAAUGAAACCCUAAUAAAAUAAAAACCGUGAUCUCUUGAAGGCUAUAGCAAGCAUAUAUAUAUAUAUAGGAGUAAGAACUCCCCCUCAAUCAAAUCUCCGAUAGAAAUCUGAUUUGAGUUGAGUAAGGAAACUUGUUUUAAAACCUAUUCCAAAAUACCAAUUUGUAUUCUAAUUAAACAACUUUGAAAGCAAAAUCAUUUUGAGAAAAAUAAAUCUGAAUUAAAAACAAAUUCCCUUAAAAGAAGAUGACACAAAAUAACAAUACCUCUUAUUACCUCAAGUCUAUUGAAGUUAGCAGGAGCGAUCGACUCCCCCUGCAAAUAUGCUUCUCCUCGUACAGCUAGGAGAACCAGUUUGUUUCCUUCGGUUUGAUGUAAAUGCCAUAUACUUACAGACCAAGAUCACACUCUUAAUCUUAGAACCUACUCAUCACCCCAUAUCAAAAUCUUAUUCAUGAAUCCAGAACUUACUCAAAAACCCAAAUCAAAAUGAUCCUACUCAUGAACCCAAUCACAAUAAGAUCAAACCAAUCUUACCCAUGAAUCCAAUCAUAAUCAGAUCAAAAAUUACCCACACGGGGCGAAAUUAAGAUAAGAAAUUCAAUUCCACAAAGGAAAAGUGGAACUCUGUUACAGACAAAAUUGAAUUGAAAGUUUAAACCCAUAACCAAUUUAAUUCCUAAAGAAGAUAAACAAUUUCACGUUUACCAAAUAGAACCCCAACCAAACCUUGUGGCGUGCAUUCAACAAUGAGAAGACAGGUCUCGAGCUCGUACUGCAACAGAGUCAGAGAUGCAUUAGAGCUUUGAGUCGACUGUUAUUUUCAUUGGUUUUUUAUUUAGUAAAUUACAAUAAAGUUACUAACCAAAUUUCAGUUUACAAAUACAUCAUUUACACAAUAUCUUACACAUUUAAGGACAAAUAUUAACAAAUUAGGACAAAUUAAUAUCCACAUGCCAUCUGUCACAAAAAUUUUACCAUAAUACCUUUCACUACAUAUCAACUGCUACUGUCGACGAUAACAUAGUAGCACACUGCCGAGUAGCACAGUAGCACAUUGGGUGCUACUAUCAAGUAGCACAUUGGGUGCUACUAUCAAGUAGCACAGUAGCACCCGAUAAAAAGGUGUUAUUUUAGGCAAUUCUUCGGAAUCAAACAAAGCUGCUAAUGUUGCGAUAUGAGACCUUUAUAAAGCUGCUACUGUUGUUAUUAGAAACUUUCUGCUACUGACGACGAAAUGGUUAUUACUACCGCAAAUCUAACUGCUAAUGUCAACUUCUACUACCAAUCUGCCUGCUACUGCCUACUAUUGAUAGAAAAGUGUGCUACUGUCGAUAGGGCAGUGUGCUACUACCGGUGCUAUAUUGCAAUUUUUUUCGGCAUUUCUUCGGAACCAAACAAAGCUGUUACUGUCGAUUAAAGAAUAUGCUACUGUCAACUCUAAAGCUGCUACUAUUGACUCGAAAGCUCCUAUUUCCCAUACAUAAUUAUACUAACCGAGCCACAAUCCUAAUAAAUCACCGAUGACAACUACAAAUUCAAAGCUUUUAGCAACAGAUUCAAUUUCCUCUUUAACAAUCGUGAUUUAGAGUAAUAAGAGAUUUGUUCAAAAUAAGGAAAAACAAAAACAAAAAAAAAACAAAAGAAAAUUGAAAAAUGUCACAAGCACAGUAGCUUACCUUAUAAGCCUAAAGAUGAGAGAAUGAGAUUGUCGUCGUAGUCUUCAAAUCACAAACCAACUACCACUAAUUAAAGCCAAAACAAAUCAAAGCAAGUUGCUCUGAGCUUCAUCUUUGCACAGUAGCAAUCCCACCCCACCACUCCCAGCAAACCCAAACAUAAUUAAUGGAAUCGAAUUGGUGACCAUGCCUUUUCCUGGGAAGAGAACAACGACAAUGCGGCUCUUGCGGUGGCGAUGUCGACAUGUCGUACGCGGGGCUUAUGAGGGCGUCGUUGGUCGUGACGGAGAGAGAGGAGGAGUGGUAGAGAUUUUAUCGGUGAGAGAUCGAGAUGAGUCGUCGUCGCCUCUCGGUGAGAGAUAGAUAUCGAGAUGAGUCAUGAUUCGAGGGAUGGGAGCAACAACGACUUCAUUCACGUCGUCAUCGGAGAUGAGAUCCGAGAGUCGGAGUCGGAGGUCGGAGGUCGGAGGCCAUGGGUUCCGGGCGCAGUCGUCGAGACGGCUACUGUCGUUCUAACGGUUGGAGAGAGAGAGAGAGAGAGAGAGAGAGAGAGAGAGAGAGAGAGAGAGAGAGAGAGAGAGAGAGAGAGAGAGAGAGAGAGAGAGUAG